RNAcentral lists this long non-coding RNA (69157 nucleotides) under Gossypium barbadense (sea-island cotton). RNAcentral describes it as "long non-coding RNA (GBAR_LNC016735)". Lineage: Eukaryota; Viridiplantae; Streptophyta; Magnoliopsida; Malvales; Malvaceae. The record is from RNAcentral.
CUGAGAUGAAAUUACCCAAAAUGAAAUAUUGUUAUCAAACAUUCCAUGCUAUUAUAUACUCAAGAAACUUAAAAAUACCAUGUUGUUGUUCCAGUAAUUACCGCAUGAAACAUUGAAUCCAUGCUCUCGGAGUAGUCGGAAUCGAAGGGAUGUGGUGUAGAGGUCGUUCUCGGCAUCAUUGUUGUUAUGGUAGAUAUUCUCUAGUUCAUCUUCGAUCUCCUUGGUGAAAUGGUAACUCACACCCAGUCUUUGGACUGAAUCAAUGAAGGCUAACUUUUGGGUUGAAUUAGCCAUUGGUGCCACAAUCAUCUUCCUCACUUCUUCUUUCAAUUGUUGGUGGCGUUUUUGAGUUUCAGCAUCAAUAUUCUGCUCAAAAUAAUGAAAAUUUGCUUCAUAUUGAAUCACUAAAUAACUAAACAAAUAAUCUGUUAAGAUUAUAUAUAUACCAAUAUGGUGAUAUGUAUGUAUACCUUGUCGGGACAAUUGAGGAAGAAAUCUCCCCAAAUGCUAGGCUGAAAAUCGGCUUUGGGACGCAUUUCAUCCUUAUUGGAAGAAAGGGGUGAUGAAGAAGGCAUUUGAGAAACUUGUGAAGCCAUUUCGAUUGAUUAAAAGCAAAUAUUGAAAAGCUUAAUUUGCUGCCUUUUUUGGUUUGCUCUUGAAAUUUGGCACAGAAUCUGUGAGGAUAAGAGUGCAAUUGUUGCAUGUAUUUAUAGGUAAAAUAUACUGGGGAGUUUAAGUCAAAAAAGACAACCUAUAUGCAAGGAAACAAUUAUACAAUAAGAUUGGUGUAGGGCGGCCCAUUGCAUGAGAAUUGCAAAUAGAUUAAAAGAGAUGUUGAUUUGUCUUUUUGUUUGAUUCUCUUAUUCAAAGUUGAUGCCUGUAAAAUAUUAGAAGAUGAAAUGUGUAGAAAUGUGUUACAAAGUAAAUAUUUAUCCUCUGUUGAACUUUAGAAUUAUAGAAAUAUAUCAUUUCAGUCCUUCCCUCGGCCGGUCAGCCUCAAUUAAAAUAUAAAUUAAAUCAGUUGGACCAACUGAACUAAAUUAUUUAAUUAAAACAUAAUUAAAUGUUAAAUGUGAUUUCAUAUUAAAUAAGUCUAAAAAGUAGUAACUAGUUCCUUAAAAAAGAAGUAGUAAUUAGCUAAUAAAGAUAUGUAUUUUCUAUCUUGGGUAUGUACAAAAUUAGACAGACCACCAAUUUUCAAUUUAAUCAAUUAACCCAAUACUAUUUUCUUUUUAUAUAAAUAUAACUAUUUUUUAAAAUUAAUAAAAAUUAUAUAUAUUUAAAAUCGAUAAAAUUUUAUUAAUAAUAUAUUAAAUGCAAGAAACCUGUUUUCAAAUAAUAAAUAAUCUUUAACGAUCUUUUAAGUCCUAACCAUUGUUAAUCUUUAAGGCAUCUGAAAGUUAGAUCGGUGCAUGCAUUUGUUUCAGACGCAAAGACUUUUGUUUCUCAGUUCUUCCCACUAAUCUUUUUGAUUGAUUUUUAUAAUAGAGCACGUCAGGUUUCAUCAAGGACUAAGCAACGUCACUUGUUUACUAUUAUCCUAUUGACUAAUUGGCCAUGAACACAUAAACUAUGACGUAAUAUUUAUAAUAUUUAUAAUAUUUAUAAUAAUUUUUAAACCGAAAUAGCAUGUAAUUUUGAAAAUUAAUCAAGUCAAAUUAAAUAGUUCUAAUCCUACGAUUUAAGGCCAACAUAAAUGAUAAUUACAAUCCCACAAUUAAACUGAGUAAAGAGAAGUUAAUGUUUACUAUUAUAAUAGAGCAUGUCAGGUUUGAUCAAGGACUAGGCAACGUAACUUGUUUACUAUUAUACUAUUGACUAAUUUACCAUAAACACAUUAAACUAUGACGUAAUGUUCUCAAAUUAUGCAGAUUUUAAAUUCAAUUUUAAAUUUUAAAAAUAUUUUAAUUCAAUCCGCAAAGUAUUAGUAUCAUAUCAAUCAAGCCUUUCCAUUAGCUUAACAAUUAGUUUAGGCAUUAAAUGUCAACUCAAGCUUGAGUUAAAGUGUAUAUGAAAUACGUAGAUCAAAUUGUAAAGAUGUAUCUAUCUGUAACAUAGAUAAUAUUUUAUUGACAUUAAUUUUUUAAUACGUUAAAAUUUAUUGCAUAGAUACAAUGCUAAUAUUUUAAAGAUUUAAUUAACCUAUUUUGAAGUUUAGAACUAAUUAAGAAUAGGCAUAACCUUAAAUUUAGUUCUCAACAUUUACAUUCUUUUUUGUUAAUUUGACUUUUAUUUUUUUAGCUAAAAUUGAUCCUCACCCUUUUAAAAAAAAUCAUAUUUAACCUUAAACCUUUCAAAAAUAGUUGAAAUGCUAUUUUUUUAAUGAAAAUAAACCGUUAAAUUUUUAAACAUGGCAGCUCACAUACUAAUCCACAUGUACUCCAUAUUAUUAUUAUUAUUUAUUUUUUUUAUUUUUUUGUAAUUUUUAAAUUACUUGUUGGUGUGGCAUAUAAUAAAUAGAGUUAUGUCUACAUGAAGUACAUGUGGACUGUAACACAAGUUUCCAUGCCAACUUUGUUGAAAAAUUAAUGUUUUAGUUAGGAUUUUUGUUUAAACAAAUUUUUUGACUCUUUUUUAAAAGACUAAGGGCAAAUUUAGCUAAAAAGAAUAAGAAAAAGAGUUAAAUUGACAAAAUAUAUAAAUAUGGUGGCUAAAUUUGACAUUAUGCUAUAAGACUAUUGGCAAUAAAUUAGAGAUGACUGAUAGAAUUAAUCAAAAUAAUAUGGGCUUAUUAAGAAUUUUAACUUUAAAAAAAAUAAUUAAAUCCCUCGGAACCUCUUCUACUCAAUUGAAUCCUUGAAUUGACAAUUUUGACCAACAAAGCCCUUUGACCAACAUUGAUCGUUAGAAACUAACAGCAGCGCUAACGUGAUUGUCAACAGAUGCCACAUCAGACAACAAAGGCUAACUUGGCAGUGCCACAUUAGUAAAAAUAACAAAAAAGUAAAAAAAUAUUUUUAAUUUAUUUAAAAAUAUAUAUACAAUGAUGCUGGAUAAAUGAUUGUCCAAAUUCAUUUCAAUCUGAGCACUCAUUUAUUUAAGUUCCUUUGAAACUAGAGACACAUUUCUCAAGAUUCAUUUCGAAAUUAAUAAACAUAAAAAUUAUAAAAAAAUCAUUCAAAUUAUAAAAAAAAUUAUAAACUAAUUAAAAACUAUUGUAACACCACCAAUCAAGCGUAAAAGUUUCGACUAAGUCGAAGAAAUCACAUUUGAUCAUUUGAUGAUUGAAGUGACCGUUGAAACCACUAGUCUAUUUUGUAGGGAAGUUGUUCCUUUUGAUCUUAGGAAAUCAUUUAUUAUUUUUAAGCCGGUUUUAUUUAAAGAUUCAGUUUCGCUAUUAUUCUGGUGGUGUUUUGAAAGCGGCUGAUGUUUUUGGAAAAGGAAAUUAUAAAACCAUUGAAACAAACAGCGAAAAAUAUUUAUAAUAAUUUUCUAAAUCAAAAUAGCAUGUAAUUAUGAAAAUUAAUCAGUUGUAAAUAAAUGAUAAUUACAAUCCCACAAUUAAACUGAGUAAAGAGAAGUUAAUGUUUACUAUUAUAAUAAAGCAUGUCAGGUUUACCAUUCACUAAUUUACCAUAAACACUUUAAACUAUGACGUAAUGUUCUCAAAUUAUGCAUAUUUUAAAUUCAAUUCCAAAUUUUAAAAAUGUUUUAAUUCAGUCCUCAAAGUAUUAGUAUCAUAUCAAUCAAGUCUUUCUAUUAUGUUAACAAUUAGUUGAGGCAUUAAAUGCUAACUCAAGUUUGAGUUGAAGUGUAUUUGAAAUACGUAGAUCAAAUUGUAAAGACGUAUAUAUCUACAACAUAGAUAACAUUUUAUUGACAUCGAUUUUUAAAUACGUCAAAACUAAAUUUUUUAUGUGGUAGAUACACAUGAGUUUACAGUUUAUUCCGUUUGCUUUUAAGCAUGCCGCAUAUCAUAUCUUGAUUCACAUUUAACAAUUAGAUUAACUACGACAUUGAUAGAAAACCUAUUUGAUACAAUGUUGAUAUUUUAAAGAUUCAAUUAACAUGUUUUGAAGUUUUAAACUAAUUAAGAAUGGGCAUAACACAAAUUUAGUCCUUACAUUUACAAUUUUUUUUGUCAAUUUGAUCCCUUUUUUUUAGCUAAAUUUGGUCAUCAACCUUUCAAAAAAAUGUCAUAUUUAAAUUAAACCUUUCAAAAAUUGUUGAAUUGCUAUUUUUUAAUGAAAAUUAACCGUUAAAUUUUUAAACACGGUAGCUCACAUACCAAUCCACAUGUACUUCAUACUUUGUUUUUUGAAUUUUUAUAAUUUUUUUUUAUUUUUUAAUUUUUAAAUUAUAUUUUGGUGUGGCAUAUAAUAAAUAGUGUUAUGUCAAAAUGAAGUACACGUGGAUUGCCACAUGAGUUGCCAUGCCAUCUUCAUUAAAAAAAAUUUAAUGUUUUAGUCAGGAUUUUCUAUAAAAAAUAAUUUAACUCUUUUUUAAAAGAUUAAGGGCCAAAUUUAACUAAAAUAGAAACAAAAAAAACCAAAUUGAUGAAAGAUGUAAAUGUUGCGGUUAAAUUUGACAUUAUGAUAUUGGCAAUAGUUUAGAGACGAUUGAUAGAAUUAAUGGAUUGAAAAUAAUAUAGGCUUAUUAAGCAUUCAAACUUCUUUCAAAAAUCAAGUAAACCCCUCCAAAUCUUUUCUACUUAAUUGAAUCAUUGAAUUGAUAAUUUUGACCAACAAGGCCAUUUGACCAAUAUUGAUAGUUAGAAACUAACAGCAACUCUAAUAUGAUUGUUAACAAAUGCCACAUUAACCAACAAAUGCUAACUUGACAGUGCCACAUCAGUAAAAAUAAAAAAAUAAAAAAAAUAUUUUAAAAUUAUUUUUAAAAAAUGUACAAUGAUGCUGGACAAAAGAUUGUCCAUGCUCAUUUGAACAUGGACCCACAUUUUUCAAUAUUCAUUUCGAAAUUAUAAAAAAAAUAAAAAAUUAUAAAAUAUAAUUAAAAUUUAUAAAAUUAUUAUAAAAUUAUUAAAAUUAUUUUUUAAAAGUUUUUUUUAAAAUUAUUAAAAAUUAUUAAAACGUAUAAAAUUAAAAACCAAAUUAUAUUUAUAUAAAAGUUUUUUUUGUAAUUGUUUAUGUAUUAUUAAAACCAAAUGGAUUUUAAAUAAAAAUAUUUUUAGAAACUAUAAUAAUUUUAAUGUUUUUAAAUAAAAUCUUUAGAAACUUUUAAAAAAGUCCAAAUGGAUUUUUAAUUAAAAGCUUCUAUUCAACCUAAUGGACUUUAUAAAAAUUUAUAAUAAAAAGCUGUGUUUUAAUUUAUUUUAUAAAAUUUUAUGAUUUUUAAUUAAUUUAUAAUAAUUUUAUUAUUUUUUAUAAUUUUAAUUAUUCUUUAUAAUUUUUUUCUUUUUAUAAUUCCAUGAUGAAUAUGGACAUAUGAAUAUCUACAUUCAAAUGAACCUGGACAACUAUUUGUUUAAGUUUAUUGUGUACAUUUUUUUACAAUAAUUUUAAAAUAUUUUUAAUUUUUAUUGAUGCGGAUCACCCCAUCAGCAUUUGUUGAUUAAUGUGAUAUCCAUUAAUGACCACAUCAAUGUUGGUGUUGGUUUCUAAUGAUCAACGUUGGUAAAAAAAUCUCGUUGGUCGAAAUUGUCAGUUUAAAGACUCAAGUGGAUAUAAAAAGUUCAAAUGGAUUUAGUCGAUCAUUUAAAAAUAAUUCAAAAAUUUAUUGUACCAAUAAGCCAAUAAUAAUAGCUAAUAUAAAUGUAUAGAACUUGAGUUCAAUGGAUUUAUAUAUGAUGCAUUGACACUAUCAGUAAAUCAUAUAAUACUAUAAAAUUUAAAAAAAUUUCAUUUAAUUUUUAAUAAUAUAUUCACUAGGAACACGUAAAAUUAUUAUACCUUUCAAAAUUACUAUAUAUAUUUUUUAAAAUUGUAAGGAAGAACAUUUUUUUCAAAAUUACUUAAUUUCCAUAUUCAAAGUUAAGGCAAACCUAGCAAUCAAACAAGAUUCUUUUCAAGGAUUUCGUAUUAGAUAUUGCCGCCAAGCUUAAGAAAUUAUAUAUUUAUUCCUUUCCAAACAAAAGAAUUUAAACAAUUAUAUUCAUAUUUUAUAUUUAUGCGAAUUAAGUGUAAAUAUUCUAAAGGAGACGUACGAAGACCAAUGUUUAUCGAUAAUAAAUAUACAACAAAUAGAUUUUAUUAAAUUUCAUCUUGGAUCAGUCAAAAAAAAAAUAUGUAUAAUAUUCGUAUUUUUAUUUAGUUUCAAUGCACGUGUAAAGGAAUAAUUUAAUAAUAACAGCUUAAAAAGACUGGUAAGGAUAUUAUUAAUUAUAAAAAUCAUAAUCGAUUAUUUAUUGUUUUGAUUAAAUUAAUAAAAAUUGAAAGAUUAUAAAUAGAAUAAACAAUGUUAAUAUACUGUAUUCACUUGACUUUAGUGAAAGCAAUGUAUUAUUGUAAAAACUUCUUGUUAACUGCACAUCUAUAUAUUAUUUAUUAUGAAAUUAAAAAUUAUUUUUUUCCAAAGCAUUAUAGUUGUCUAUAACAUGCUAAAAUCAUUGCAACCUUUUAGCCUCUAUUGUUUUUUUUUAAGUCAAAAGGAUACAACCUUAAAAUAAAAAUAUAAAUGGAGGGCAUAUCGGUUUUUGAGUUGUUCUUUUGGUAAAUUAUAGGUAAAUCUUCGUUUUGAUCACUUAACUAAAAAAAUUAUAAUUUGAUCAUUGAAUCAUUAGAAAAUUUUUAUUUAAGUCAAUGAAGUAUUCAAAAAAUUUUAUUAAGUUACUACGCUAUUAUUUUUUUUAGAAGUUUCGCAAGAAAGCUCAAAGCAAUGAUUCGACAAUCGGUACACUGAAUCAAUAACUAUUGACGAGUAGAAGAACAUAUCUUAGAUACAAGUUGAUUUGAUGGUCAAUGUCGGAGAUUAGAGAAAAAAGCUUUUUGAAUUUUGAAUUGCAAAUUUAUGACGUUCAAAGCUAUUUCAUAAAAAAAUGAACUGUAGAAAAGAAAGGAAAGAGAGGUUUCAAUUGGUGCAGGCAGCGAGAUCUAUUCAUUGAUAAGAGAAAGAAAAAACGUGAGCGGUGAUUGGAUUGAUGAGAAAAUAGAAUCCUGGGUCGCGAACAGUGAUUCGAUUGAUGAUAAAGAAAGAGAAUUCUUGGUUCAAUUCUCCACCUUAACAGCAGAAAAAAGGAUUGAUCAAAUUCUAUUGAGUCUGACUCAUAGUGAUCAUUUAUCAAAGAAUGACUCUGGUUAUCAAAUGAUUGAACAACCUGGACCAAUUUACUUACGAUACUUAGUUGACAUUCAUAAAAAGUAUCUAAUGAAUUACGAGUUCAAUACAUCCUGUUUAGCCAUAUAACAUUGAUUUUAAUAGCUCACUGACUUAAAUGAAAACUUUUGAAUAGUUUAGUAAUCAAAUUGUAACUUUUUUAGUUAAGCGACUAAAAUGAAAACUUACUUAUAGUUUAGGGACUAAUGAUGUAAUUUAUCCUUUUAUUUUUUAUUGUUCGUCAUUUAAUGCCCUCGAUAGUCUAUCUGGUGCAUAUAGCCUUUUCGAUAUCAUAUAUAGUUUCUUUUUUUUUUAGAAAAUUUGGGACACCAAUGACAAAUUUGUUUAUUUAAGGGUAAAUUACACUUAUAGUAAUCCAACUAUAAAAAGUUACAAGAUGGUCACUUAAUUAUUUAGAUUUUUUUUCUUAGUCACCUGCUGUUAAAGGGCUAAUGGGAAGAUGACGUGACAACUUUUAAAAUUGGUUAAACAACUUUUAACCAUCAACAUUUAUAUAUUGGUUCAAUUUAGUUUUGAUUCUAACAAAUUUAACUCUCAACAUUUUCACAUUGUGUAAUAUGCUUUUUUUCCAAUUUUGCUUUUCGUUGUGACCCUUUCACCUAAAAAGCUAAAAAAAAAACAAUCUAUCAACUAAAUUUGAUCAGAAAUAUACAAAAAAUAGAAACACCAAAAAAUCCAAGAUAAUAAUAUGCAUCUUAUGUAAUUCUUUUAAAAUUAACCCUCAAUGUCACAAAUAAAAGUAAAACUGUAAAAAGAGAGAGAGAGAGAGAGAGAGACCAAAUUAUAUAAUGUGUAAAUGUUGAUAUUUUUUUUUGAAAUCAAGACUAAAUUAACACAAUGCAUAAAUGUUGAGCGUUAAAGUUGUUAUUAUGCCAAUUUUAAAAAUUGUCAAGUUAUCUUUUUAUUAGCAAAUUAAUGGUCGGAGACCAAAAAAGAAAAAUUCAUAUAGUUGUGUGACAAAAAAGAAAAAGGGUGAAUAGUUGGAUGGUCAUUUUUUGUAAAGUUCCAUAGUUGGGUGACUCAAAAAAUACUAAAAGUUGGAUGACUACUUUCAAUGCCAUUUUUAUGAACAAAGCUAGCUUGAGAAAUUUUGAGAAAAAUAUGAAAAAUUUAAAAUAUUAAAACAUUGGGUUUUUAUUUAGAACAUAAGAUUUGUCACAAAUCUUUUAACUAGGUGUGAUCAAGUACCUAUAAAAUCGCCUUUUAAAAAUAUAAUUAGUUGGUUUGUUAUUUGAAAAUCAAAGAAAAUUCGAGUUCAGGAAUCAAUUACAUGCGAUGAAGGUAUUAACACCUUCACAAUGCCCAAAAAAAAUAUCUUAUUAAUUAUGUGUUGAUUUUAAAUUCAAAAAUUACAAGUUCAAAUUCAGUAUUCAGUCAUCAUCUGUAAUAUUCUGUUUGUUAAUUAUAUGUUUGUCUGCAUGUUGUGUGCAUUUUUACAUUUGCAUAAAUAAUUUGGGGUUUUGGUUGUGAAGAGAAGAAAGUUUGAUUUGAUCAGUUUAUCUGUAAUAUUCUGUACAACAAUUUUACUGCAUUAUUAUAUAUAUGUCAGCUUAGUUGCAUAUUUUCUUUUGAGUGGCUUAUACCCACUAUCGUGGUGUGUAGGGUGGAUCGGCCUACCAUAGCCCAAUUGUGGUGUGCAGGGUGGUCGGAGUGGUGUUCCGGUUGGUUGGGUGGGUUUUAAUAUUUAUUGCUUUCUUUUAUUAUUAUUAUUUUUAACUUUGUUGAAAACCUUUAUAUGAAUAUGUUUAUGUAACAUCUUUAACCAGACCUAGACGUUAGAUCUGAAUUCAAAAGAUUAUAUUAUCCACUAAAGUGGCUCAAUAAGCUAUCAAAGUUUUGAAAACGAUCAUUUUAAAACAUUUGUUUAUUUUGGUAGGAAAUUUAGAUACAACUCAAAAUUUUAAUUAUGAUUUAGCAACGGAAAAGUACUGUCUAUUUAUUUUUAAUAAAAAUCGGGGUUCAUGCAUACUAGUUAAUAAUCGUAACAUGAUGUCCUAAAAAUUUAAAUCAAGUGUUAUGCAAAAUAAAAACAAACUCAAAUCAUAAACCCCAUGCCACAAUUCGAAUAAAAUAAUAAUACAAUCUCUAAAUAAUGAAAUAUCAAAUAAUAUAUCUAAAAAUAUUUUAACAAAAUUGAGCCGAGACCCUCUGGAUCUAUAAGGAUGAAAAUUAAAGGGGGACUGAGCUAUGACGCUCACUUUGAGUUCCAUCACAAUAAAAUUAGCGUAACAGUCAGUAAGGCAUAUUAAAUAAUAAUGCAUAAAAUAAUCGCAAUUAAGUAGCAGUUCAAAAUAUCCAUUUUCAAUUUAGCCAUCAUUAGCAUAUAUAAUUUACAAUAGCAAUAUCAAAAUAUUGAUUUCACAGAUCACUCAUUCAUAUAUUUAGAUAUAAAUAUAUCUUACCAGAAAUUCUAGGUUUGCAUGCAGAUGCUUUCAUAGAUGCCAUACGGUAUCAGUUUUAACAGAAAAGAUCCUACUCCACCGCUACACACUACGAUUAGAGUUAUCCAAAACUCCAACCGCUAACACACCAAAUUAUGGAUUAACUACCAAUAGAUUACAGUUUUACUGCCAAUGGUUGUGGACACAAAAUAGUGCAGGUAAAAUCUGCCAAUGGCCAUGGAUGCAAAACAUGCUUGCAGAUGAUUACUGUCAAAGGGUUAUGGAUGCACAACAAAAACAUCACAGAUGGAAUCUGCCUAUGGUUGUGGGUACACAAUAAGCCGUCGUAGAUGGAAUUUGCCAAUGGCUGUGGGUUCACAGCAAAAUAAAUGCAGAUAUACUGCAAAUACUUCCUCUAUUCAUAACAUCCUAUCCCAUGUAAAGCAAUAUGACAUGUUCGGCAGAUUAAUAAAAUAACAUUAAAUUAUGCUUUUAACAAACAAUACAAUAGCAAUCAGUAUUCUUAUAAUGGUUUGGUUCAGUAGCAAUGAACAUGCUUGUGACAGAUUAAUUUAUUAGUAAAAAUCAUGCUUUUUUGUGUGCUUGGUUUGACACUUACAUAAGGCAUACCAUACAUACGAUUACAACCCCUAAAAUAAUAGACAUAUAUAUAAUGUUCACAAUUCAUGUGUAUAUAUAUAAAUAUCAUACUAAAUCAAUUCAUCAAAUCAUGGAUUCUAACAUAAUUCAUAUCAUCAGGGCUUAAUUGAAUAAUUUGAAGCACUAUAAAUAGUUCAAAAAUCAUUCAGGGACUAAACUAAACAAAACAUAAAAUUCUUGGUCAAAAUCGUAAAAUCUAAGGUACAGGGGACACACGACAAUGUGGAAAGCCCUAGACUGUGUGGAAGGAGUGCACGGCAAUGUGGCUAGGUCGUGUGACAGACUAUGGCCUUGUGGCAUUUGAAAAAUCAACCUAUAAGGGAGACAUGACCGUGUGGAGGGUCCUAGGCCGUGUGAGGGUCGAAAUAACCUAGGGUUUCAGGGGGACAUGGUCAUGUGAGGGGGCCGUGUGGUCCACACGGGUGGCCCACGCGCCUGUGUGGCACUAUCUUAGGCAUGAUUUUGCAUUGUUUCACUUGUAAAAGAACAUACACUUGACUUCGGGAUCUCAAACGAUGUUCCUUGCGCCUAAAUCUGAUUCGAGGUACCUAGAUCAAGUCCUUCAAAUGACAUUUAAGCAAGAAUUAAUAAUGAUAUUCAAGAUUUAUCAAGAUUACUGGGAAAUAUUGACAAGAUUCGUAAAAGAUCAUUUGAUCAAUCUUAAAAUUAACAUGAAUAAAAAGUCUACAGGAAUUUAAGAUCUAAACUUUAGGAUUAGAAUGUUCUUACUGAUUCUUGGCAACGAGCGGAGAAUGUUUCGAAUUGCGAUUACGAAUCUAGUUGAAAAGUGAGUUAAAAUCAAGAAUAGAUUUCAAUUUUGGGUAAUCAAGAACGAUUUUCAACAAUGGAACAAAAUUUUGAUGAAAAGAAAAGCAAAGAAAAGAAAUAGGGAAGAAAUAGAAAAGAUGGAAGUAAAGUUCUAGGAGAAUUGGAAAAGGAAACAAAAUCCUAGCCUAGUUAGGAUAAUGGUUUAAAUAGCUAGGGUUUUCAAAUUUUUAGGGACUGUUUGGAUGGGUGAUUAACCAUUCUUGCCGAAAAUAAAAAAGGAAAUAGGGUGAGUGGUGUGACUUAAACUUGGGAUUCAAGGGAGAAAUGAAUGAUGCUUAACCAUUGAGCUACUACCCACACUUGAUCAUUUUUUACUCCAUUCAAUAUAUAUUCUAUGGAGAUUUUCAUUCUAGUUUGCUGAAAAUGAAAAGAAAAAUAUGGGUGAGAUGUAACACCCCAAACCCAGCCUAGACGUUAUGGUCGUAUCUGGUAAUGUCACACGAUAGUGUUUUUCAAACCUCGUUGUUACGAUGAAAACAUUCCAUGUUAUUAUCUUUAGUAAACCUUUGUUAGAACUUAGGAAUUCACCUUUAUUCAUUUAAAACAUUUGUUUUGAAACAUCCCUCGUUACAAAAGCUUUAAUAAAACAGUCUAAGUGAUCAUACGUGUAGAAAAUACUUUAACUUUUUGAAAACCAAAUUUCCUAUUACCAACAGGUAUAAAUCCAUAAAGUAAAAUAAAUAAAUAAAAAUCCAAAAUUUAAAACCAAAGUCCCAGAGGGUCCUUAAAUUACAACCCAAAUAAUCAAUACUAAUUAAUCAUAAAACGUAAAUUGAAAACCAUGAAGUCCAAAAAUUUCUGUGGUCACCGCUGAGUCCUCCGUCGCACCGAUCCAUCUAAGUUUGGGGAUUACCUGUGCACAUUAAACAAAAAGUGUGAGUUUACGUAAACUCAGUGUGUAAUCCCGCAGAAACAAACAAGCAAUCAGUAUUCAUAGUGCACAGUUGAACAGUCUUGGGCCUAAGCCCUUUUCAGUAUCAGUGACAAUUUGGGCCUUAGCCCAUCUCAGUAUAGUGUCAAAAAUGCAGUAGGGCCUUAGCCCAUCACAGUAUCAGUAGCAGUAACAAUUAUGCAGUAGCAAAAUCCUACCCAUCCAGCCUUUACAUACCAUCUCCGUCCAACCCUGCACUCCAUGUGGGGAUAUAAUCAACCGAUCCAUCCUUACACUCCAAUUAGUAUCGAAUGCAGCACAAAACAGUAGUUUGCAGCUGAGCUACUAGUAAAUUAGGCUUAAAGCCUUUUAGUCAACUUCCUCCGAAUAACAACCUCUAACCCAAUGCAAUGCAACAUACCAUGGAUGAUAUGCUAUUAUGCAAUUUCAGUACAUAUAUUCAGUUAAGAUAUUAACAUGCUCAGUAUAAAUAUCAUUCAGUCAAUUUCACACAUUUAGGGGUCUAAGUAGCGCUUACCGACCUUACAGUAGGUUCACAGUCGACUUGGGCGACCCAUGCAACCUUAGAAACAUUCCAGUAAGAAUGAGCCCACAAGCCCGUGUGUGCCCGUGUAGCCCACUCUGCCCAAAUUGGCCUUGGUCGUGUGAUCCAUUUUUAAUGUAACCCAUGCUAGCUAAAUAUUCAUAUAUGUUUUCACUAUUUACUUAUAUGUUCAUUCAAAGCUGUCUACUUGAGUCAUUGUCACUAAAUUAUUUAUAUCUUGAGCUACAGAAUUAUAAAUUAAAAUCCACUUGAUGUUUUCAAAACUAGACUCAAAUACUUUUCUACCAUAAAAUUUUUAGAUUUUAUAGUUUAUCAAAUAAGUACAGUAAAAUCUUCAAAUCUAUCCCGAUUCUACUAUUUGACAGCUUCAAUCUUUCCUUACUAAAAUUAUUUAUCUCUUAGUACGGAAUUUGGAUGAUAUUUCUGUUUGUUUCUCUUGAAAAUAGACUUGUUAAGGACUUAAAAAUAUAAAUUUAAGCGCCUAAUUAUUUUUUACAAUUUUUGAUGAUUUUUCCAAAGUCAGAAUAGGGGAACCCGAAACCAUUGUUUCUUCCAUUGCUUACAUUGUUUCUUCCAUGAAAAACUAGAGUCAACAAAAUUUAAUUUCAUAUUUUAUUCAACCUCUAACUCUAUUUCCACUAUUUUAGAUGAUUUUUUCAAAGUUAGACUACUGCUGCAGUCCAAAACUAUUUUAGUGCAAAAUGUCGAUUUCCAAGAUUAUAACACCCUUAUUUCCUUUCUCUACAAUUUUUCACAUCAUUUUCUCUUAUUUCUCGACAGUAAGCAAUUUUGGCUUUUCGCUGAAUCUCAUUUUCUUCCUUUCGGGUACACACCUGUAUCGUUUUCGUUGCUUACGCAAUCCCGAGAUCACCAAAAACCUUCUAACUUUGCACAAUUCCACGACUACUCAACACGAGGGAAAUAGCAACCGAAAUGAUUCGUUGCUGUAAAAAUAACCAUUCCUCAUUAAAGAAGAGUUCAACAAAGUUAAGAACGAAUUCAAAGCCAAAACCACUCGCCCAAACAACACAAGAAAACACAUGCCCUAUACGCAUACCAAACGAUCACCCCUUCGAGUCAAAUCGAUGAAUGUUAAUUCCAGAUGCACGAUCGACUCCUAAACAAUCAACAAAACACCCCUUAAUCCCUUAUCCAGAGUAACAUUCGAGUUUAAUAAAAUGGAAACUUACCGUACAACACAAUUGCACGCUUGCACAAAGGGUAAAAGAUGAAGAAAGACAACGAAAACGAAAGGGGAAUUCAAAGGAAAUUCAACAACAAUGAUUUAUUAUUUAGAAAAAAAGAGGAAAACUGAAAAUUGAGAGUGAGGGAGAAGAGAGAAAAUGUUAGAAAGGUGGAAAAGAGUUCUAAAUUUGAAAAAAAAACUAAACAAAAAGAUAAUGCCUAAAAAAUCUGGUAACUCAUCUCCUUAGUUCUCUCCCUAACCUCCCACAACAACUCCACUACUCGAAAUUUCAAUUUGACUAGGACUCCACUACGCCACACGGCCAAGCAACAAAAAAAAUAAUUCCCUAGCUCAUGCAAGGACUUGAACUCUAGAUCUCCCACCUCCCAACACAUAGCUUAGCCACCAAACCAGCAAGCCCAUUCUAAUAAUAUUUGCCAACUUUUACUUAAAAGCCUACUGACCAAAGAUAGGGCUUAUUCAUAAAAAUACCAAAAUUUUCCCAAGUCCUGGCUUGAACUUAAAACCUCACACACACACAGAAUACUUAACCACUGAAGCAAAUACACAAUUAUGUCACACUUUCGCAAGAACAAAAAUAAAAAUUCUGGGGCGUUACAUGAGAUGUGGAUAAAACCUAGGACCAUUAGGAAAGUGCUAACUUUUUAACCAUCAAACCAAGGACAUUUCUUGAUUAAUUAACCCUAUAUAUUUUGUGGUGUUACAAUUUCUUAAUAGCUAAAUUUCCCAUUUAGCUUUAAGGUGAUAGUCAAUUCGGGAGAAAACCAUGAGAUUUAAAAUCGUACUUAAAAAACAUUUAUUCUGGUAUUUAUUAUUUCUCUUGUUUAAGGAAUAGACAUUGCCGUCUCAUAAAGUUAUAGUGACACCAGGUAAAAAAUAGUUCGUUGAUAUGGUGUUGAUAGACAUACAAUUUGAAGAAUCGAUAUAAUCUGUUAUCGUAUUCGAUCUAUGGAAAAACUCAUUGGCGUGUCCAUUUAAGUGGUUGGUUGGAUCUGUCAAGAGAAAUAACAAUCGAAUUUAAAUGACCCACACGUUUAAGGUUGUUGAUUCUUUUUGGGCUCUUCUAGUUCACAAGGCUAUCGAAGAGCUAAAUCGUGGACUCGUGUUUUGUGGUUAUUCGUUCGGUAAGGGUUAGUUUUUGGGUGUUCCCGUAAUUAAUUUACACACGGAAAGAUUGGUGGUAUUAGGUGCCCUCGAUUACUAUAACAGAUUUAUUGAUUGAAGGAGAAGAUGUUUUAUCAAAGAUCAGCUUGAAACUAGAGCCGAAAUUGAGCCUGAAGCUAGAAUAUUUUCACAUUGGUAUAUUCAAUCUAUUUUUUUUUACUUUUAUUUUGAUUUUAAGUAUUUCUAUUAAUUUUAUUUUAAUCAGAUUUAAUUCCCUUUUUUAUUUUUGUACGGAUCAUCACAUGUCGUGCUUGACACUCAACUUAGCUAAAUCGAAAAAUAAUUUUAGAUAUUCAAUCUCUGUGGGAUCGACCCUACUCCUUAUACUGAUGUUUAUAUAUAGUUUAGGCGUAGGAAUAUUAUUUUUGGUGGAUAUGGCACCAAUCAAUUAUCAAAUAAUUAUUUUCAAAAAUAUAUUUUAAAUUUUUUGACUAAACUACACAUUUAGUCAUCCAACUUUCAUAAAUUUUUAUUUUGUGCACUGAAACAGUGCCCAUAUUGUAGUCUUUUUAUUUUCAGUGCCCCAAAAUAAAAAGAUUGCAAUAUGGGCACUAUUGUUACAUACUUUUAUCAUUUUAGUCACUGUCGGGAGUGACGAUGAUAAAAGUAUGCCGAUAAAAUUUUUUAUGUUUGAAAUUAUCGAAAAUUUAAUUUUAAGGGAUAAAUCCCAAAACUAUACAUGAACUAUGGUUUAAUAUGCAAUUGUAUACAUGAACUUUGAUUUUGUGUAAUUUUAUACAUGAAAUUUUGAUUGGAUCCAAUUCUUUUAAAUUAUUAACACAAUUAUUGAUAUUACAUCAUUUUAUGUUUAUAUAUUGCAUGCAUAAAUAAUUACAUUUAUCCAAUAUAAAAAUAAACUGAUGUAUUUAUUUCUUUAAAUGUGUAUGAUUAAAUCAAAAUUAAAGUUUCAAGUAUAUAUUUGAACCACAAUUAGAGUUUCACGCGUAUAAUUCCACCAAAUUAAUGUUCAUGUAUACAAUUACACAUUAAAUCAAAGUUCAUGUAUAAUUUUUAGAUUUAUCCCUAUUUUUAAUUACUAAAAUUAUCAAAUGCGAGACGAAGUUUAACUUAGAACAUUUAAAUUAAAUAUGCAUUUAAUUCAUGAAUCAUCAAAUAAGAUAUAUUUAUAUUUUCUAUUUCAUUGAAUUGAUAUCAUAAAUUAAUCAAACAUCAAUUCAAUUCAAUUGAAUAGUAAUUAAAAAAUUAUUAUUUAUACUAUUAUAACUUAUUUUUAUUCAGGCUAAGCUCGAUUUUAAACUCACUAUCGCAGGUAAUCAGGUUUCUAGUGUUAAGUUUAAUUUUGAAAAAUCCAAGUUGAAUCUUGCUACACUUUCAUAGCUCGAUUUUAAUUUUUGACCUUAACUUGGGUUAACUUGGGUUUUGACUAUAAAUUUUUAAUGUUGGCUUUUAUGUUAUUUGUCAAUGUUAUUAACAUUUAAGGGUGGCCUCUUUUUCCAAAGGAAGAGAAGAAAAAAGAGAGCGGCGAAGAGAACAGUGAAGCAUUUUAAGAAAAGAAGCUUACAAGAGAGGAGGUGGAAGAAGCAGAAGAAGAAGAAGAGAAUAGAGCGAGAGGAUCUGCUGGUAUAGUAUAUACCUUGUAUUGUAACUCUCUUGUUUGCAUACGGUGAAAUCUCACUUUAAAUAAACAUGAAUAAAAGGUAUAUCUUUUUCAUGCAUAAUACUACUUUCUAAUAAACUUUUAAUUUCCCAAACCAAAAAUUGUUUUGAUGAAUUUUAAUUGAUUUCUAAUUUGCAAAAUUGGUAGCACUCCAUUUGUUGUUCAAAAUUCAUCUAGCAGUACAGAAUCAAUAAAUUUCAUAUGUGACGAAGAAUUGAAUCUAAUAUAUUAUGAUUUUAAAUAUUCAAUAUUAUCAUUUUAAUCAAAUUUUUAUUUGGUAAAUAUAUUUUUUAAUAAAUUUUUUUUCAUCCACAAAGUGGAUGUACUAUAAUUUAGUAAUAAUCAAUAGUCUUCAUUGAAUUCUUAAAAAUUUUGAGAUUUCUAAUUCGAAUAUCGUCUCAUUUAAAUGUGUAAAUUCUUUUUUAAAGUUUUUCAGAUCAUAGUUGAUAUAGUUAUUUAAUUUAAUUCAAAGUUUUCCUAGUUAUAUGUAAAUGAAAAAAUUGCUUCUAAGGUACCUUCACUCAUGCUUCUAAUUAUUAAUUAUUUCAAAUUAUCAAUAUAUUUGUUUUAAAAUAAAUAAUGAAAACCGAAUAGAGAAACAAAGAGAAAACUAGAUGCCUCUACCUAAUUUUACAUCAAAUCAUAGUCAUUAUAUCUUGAGAUUUUCGAUUAUUUAUGUUUGAAGUUUGGAAUUUUCGUGUCGAUUUAUUUAAAAUUUAAUUUUUAUGAACAGUUUAAUUUCUAUAUAAUUUUACAUAUUAUUUAUGAGUUAACAAAAGUAUUGAAAUAAUUUUUUUAAAUUUAAAUUUAAAUAAUUUGUUUAAAAAGUUUUACAUGACAACUUUUUAAAAUCCGAACCCAAUUGUUUAGAUUUUUUAUAAAUGUUGUAUUUAUACAAGUCGAUUCAUAAAAUCACUCUCAAGUCAAUUCAGUUUCUUAUUUUUAUUAUAGCAUUAAAUGAUCUAUCCAAAAUAAUUGAUCCAAAAUAAUGGUGCGAUAGACAUCGGAGCUGUAUCCGGUAGAAGCUUAAUGUCGAACUCAACUUCUCGAUUCAGAGGUAAACCCGGUAACUCCUCAGAAAAACAUUCGAAAAUUCCCUCACUGUUCUCAUAUCCUCAACAGAAAGUCCCAAGAAAAACUAAAACACUAACAUAAGCCAAAUACACCUCACACCCUUUUUGAACCAAUUUCUCAACCACUAGAGCGGAGAUUACAUUAGACUAGUAAUCUCGACGCUCGACAAUUACGACAACCUCCUUAUCAUCCUCAGUCGUUAGAACGAAUUAGUCGCACAAUCCAAGCUAACUCGAUGCUCAACUAACCAGUCCAUACCUAGAAUUAAGUCGAACUCCCCAAACGGUAGCUCCAUCAAAUUUGCCGGAACACACAGCCCCUUGUACCCCUAUAUAGUCUACUAACCCGAACAGAUUGCCCUAACGGACUCAGUACAAUAAUCUCAGUAGAAGUACAAUCAACAGAAAUCCCCAAGUUCUCAAAAACAGAACUAGCUACAUAAGAGUGUGUAGAACCUACGUCUAUCAAAGUAGUAUAUGGAGCAUCAAAAUAAAGAACGUACCCGUGAUCACAUCAGGGGCAUCUCUGUCCUCUCAGUGUCGAGCAGCAUAAACCAGUGCAGGCUGCCUCGCCUCAAUCUGAUUAGCAUCUCUACCCGGUGCUCUGUCCUUAGCCCAUACCAUUACCAUCCCUAGCCAGUCCACGGCCUUUAGGUGGCUGCUGCAUUGCUCACUAAGGCUGAGUAGAACCCGGUCCCGAAGCUUGCAUCUGAUCCACACGAUGUGGACAUUCUCUGAUCCAGUGCUCUAAUGAUCCACAUUUUAGAAAAGCCCCUAAUCUCCUCCAACACUCGCUCGGAUGGCGCCUACCACAAUCACCACAAGGUUGAAUCCAAGUAGGAGCAACAGGAACUCCCACUCUAACAGGCCCAUCAGGUCUAGCUUGUUUCUUAGGCCUUUGAACAGAACUAGAGGGCUCCGAAUCCCUCUUAUUCUUGCCCCUCUCUCUGUCUUUGCUCUGGCGCUCCACGCACUUAACAUCUUCGGCAAUCUUUGUAUUAUCUACCAAAACAACAAACUCACGCUCCCUCUGCGAAGUAAUUAGACGCUCAGACUAUCCCUCAAACCAUCCUCAAAACGGACACAUUUGUCAUACUCGGAUGCCACCAUGCCUCGAGCGUAGCAGCUUAAUCUCAAAAAUUCAGCCUCAUACUCAACCACAGACUUAUUACCUUACGUGAGAUUCAUAAACUCAUGCCUAUGAGCAUCAACAUAGCUCGCGCCCACAUAUUUUCCCUGGAAGGCAGUCUUAAAGUAGUUUCAGUUCAGAUGAUCCAGUUGAGUACCCUCCUCUACCGGUAACCACCACUGAUACGCCUCAUUGUGACGUAAAGAAACUGCACCCUUCAAUUUCUUCUUAGGAGUGUUGUCAAUGUCAUUCAUAAUCCUCUCAGUAGCCACCAACCAAUACUCGGCCACAGUAGGGGCGACUCCAGUGACACUCCUAAACAACUCAGCUCCAUUGAACCGGGGUCGUUCAGUUACUGACCCACGGCCCUCAAAUCCAGAAUAGGGUCCAACGACCCUCUCCAACACCCUUAACAUGGCUUGGGACAAUGCGUCGUCCCCAACUGAGCGGCUUUGAGGCCCAGUCUCAGUAACAUGUGAAACUGAUAUCUUACUCGUAUCUAAAUUCGGUAUACUACCCAGAGAGGAAGACUCAGCUUGAGCCCCCUACGGCGCCUGCCGCACCCACGAAUAUUACGAUCGCGAGUUCCACGAGUGCUCAUCGUAUUUUUAGUUUUAUCUACAUUAUAAAAUUUUAUGCAUCAGUUCCAGUAUUUAUUAAUAGAUAUUUUAUGCUCAAGUUAUCAGAAGUUCCAAAGGAUUUCAGAGGUUUUAAUCUCUAACUAACUUAGUGCAGUUUCAGAAAGUACUAACCACAGUAUUUUCAGAAAAUUCUAUCUAAGUUUAGAAAUACUUACAGGAUCGGCGCCGAAGACUUGAUGUACCACAUACGUACUGAAAAUUAUUCAAAUCAAUUAAAAGCCAGUCCUUUGUCAAAACAUAAUUUUGGAACCCAAAAUUCACAGCCCGAGUUUUGUAACUUGGCUCUGAUACCACUAAAUGUAACACCCCAAACACGACCUAGACGUUAUGGCCGAAUUUGAUAGUGUUACGAAGAAGGGUUUUGAAAUUGAUGAUUUUUCAAUAAACCAUGUUUAACUAUUUGAUAAAACGUCCAAGUAUUAUAAAACAUAUUCAUUACUGAAACCGUUAUAAGUUGUUCCUUAAAAUUAAUCGUUUAUUUUGCAGCGGAAGUUUGGAAAUCGUUUAAAACAAAAACCAAGCUCAUGUUUUCGAAAACCCAUUUGUUGCGUAAAGUGUUUUUGUUGACGUUACGAAAAAAUAGCAAAACAAAAUCCAAAUGCAAAAGUUAAAACCAAAUUGUUUGAAGAGUCCCAAAAAUUACAAACUAUCAAGAAAAACCAAACUUUAAAAUUAAACCACUAAUUACUAAAUAAAAACAGUUCUUGGUCGAGUGGUCACCGCUAAGCCUCCGUCGCACCGACCCGCCUAAGUCUGUGGAUUAAUUGAACAGAACAGACAAACAAUUGUGUAUUUUCGUAAACUCAGUGUGUGACCCAAUAGAAAUAGCCAUGCAACAUGCACAGUGUUUCAUAUAAAGUCAGAUACAGAUUCGACCUUAAGUCCAUAACAAACACAAAUAUCAGAAUCAGAUAAACAAAACAAAUAUACAGAAUCCUACCCCCAUCCUCUACACACCGUCUUCGACCAUCCCAUCACACCACGUAGGGUUAAAAACACCCACCCAUCCCUACACAUUAUAUAAUGUCGAUGCGACACAUAAUAGAUAAUAUGCAGUCAAGCUGCCAAAAUAUAGGCGAAGAGUCGCUACACAGAUCACUUCCUCCACAUAUACAAUUUCCACUCCAUUCACAGAUACAAAGUACAGAUGCAGAAAUAUCAUAUUAAACAUGCUUAACAUGCUCGUAUACAGAUAGAUACAUAAUUAAAUAGUACAAUCAUACAUACAUAUCAGUAUCCUACUCAGAUCAGUCUAUCAAAAUAUCAAAUCACAUGAAAUAAGGUUUGGUUAGCCCUUACUGACCCUACGAUAGGCCCACAAUCGAUCGGAACGACUUGUGCAACUUUAGGGAAAGGUUCAGAAUUCUGGGCCCACAUGCCCGUGUGGCCCCACACGCCCGUGUGGCCUACUAGCUUAGCCCAAAACCCACACACCCGUGUAGUAUGCCCGUGUGGCCCAUACGCCUAACUUGGCCUAGCCCGUGUAGCCCAUACGGCCACACUCACACCGUCACAAUACCGUGUCUUGCGCAGGACCACUCCUUCAUCACUCACACGGCCGUGUCUCGCACAUGGCCAUCUACACGGUCAGCCACAUGCCCAUGUAGCGUCGACAGGCUUCAUUUUUAGCUUUUAUCGAAACUCGAUUUUUCGUGUUAGGAGUACACACCUGGUUCAAUUUUGAUGCGAAAUCACUCUUGAGACCACUAAAACCUAAAAUUUAUCAUUAAAAAGUCAAAUUUAGCUGCAUAAAAUGAUGUUAAACUGAAACUAUAUCGAAUUAACAAUCUCUUGUUCAACCAAAACCCUUACCUUCGAAUGAACAACAGUGAUUUCCUGCAGUUAUAACACUGAUGGAAAGCCUUGAGCCCCUUGAUCUUCUCCUAAACGACAAUAAUGAAACCCCAUCAACCAAAAAUUCACUAGCCAAAAACAAGAACCAAACUUACCAAACCGAAAUUGGGUACCAAGACCGAAAUACAAUGAAUUGCACCAACAAAUUUAAUUAUCGAAACAAAAGAGGAAAGGAGAGCAAAAAUUGACAGAAGUCGAAAAGAAGAAGAAAACAAAACGUCAAAACAAAAAAAAAGAUUUUGGGAAAAAAAUAAAAGAAGAUAAAAUAAAAAUAAAUUAAUCUCAAAAUAAAAGUCCCACUAUAUCCACUCCUAACCAACUGAUAACUACCCAUUUAAACAGACUUUCGAUUCCAUCCAAACUUAGUCAACCGAAGCAAAAAUUAUCACCCUCGCUCACGUAGAGAUUCAAACGUAAGACCUCCAGCAAGCUAACUCAUUACCACUCGAACCAACAGGCUCAUUUUGAUAUAGAUUAACAGACAAUUUAUAUAAACCCACCCAAUAGGGAUAAGGCCUGGAUAAAAAAUAACAAAAUUUUUCCAAAUGUAGGACUUGAACCCUAGACCUCACACACACACACUCAAAACACUUAACCACUAAAACAAACUUAAAUUAUUCAAGGCGUUACAAAGUGGAUUGAAUUUUAGCUUGAUUGGUAUAGGUAUUAUUGUCAAUGUAAGAGGAUCUAGUUUCGAGUGCACUUAAACGCUUUAUCCUCCUAUUUAUGGGUUGGAGAGGGGUUAUGGGUUGAUGAGGGGUUAUGGGUAGUUCUUGGCAUUGUGUUAAAAAAAAUAGAUAUCAUCAAAACUUAUAAUGAGAUUAUUAAAAAAAUGUAUAAACAUAAAACAAAUUUUUUUUCAUCAUUUUCAGAUUUAAAUAAGCUUUAGAUUAAAAUAAAUUUGUGUUGCUUGAGGUUUUCGGAUCUAUUUACUCUCAUUUAAGUUGUAAAGUUUUUAUGAGAGGUAAAAUGCCAUCUCACCAUUUUAAUAGCUUACAUCUUUAUAAUUAUUUAAGGACUAAAUCAAAAUUUUAUUAUUUUUAAAAGUCAAAGUAUAAUUUUUACCAUAUACUAAUUUAUAAAAUUUAUAAAAUUUAAAACGCUAAAACAUAAACUUGCCAUUUUAGGGUGCAGAGCCAACCCCUAUAUUUCGAAUUUGAAUCAAUUUAAGUUUGAAUUUUUAUAUGAUUAAAGAAAAAUAAAAUAAGCUUUAUUUUAAAUUCAUCAAGUUAAAUUUAUCAAGUCAAAUUUUUAGUUAGAAAUCAAAAUUGCAAGGUUUACCUAUAUUAAGAAAAAUUAGCUACUCAAAAAUUGUUAAUAUAUGAACCUGUGUAUUGGCCUGAUGGUUAGGAUAUUUAUCGCCCCAAGUGUGACCUGGGUUCAAGUCGCAUUGCUAUUAGGGCUUUGCCCUCCUCUUAUAAUUCACCAAAAAAUUUGUUGAUAUAUAUUAUAUAGAGAUAGUAAACUAUUCGAAAUUUUUGAGUUGAUUUAUUUAAAUUUGAAUUUCUAUGAAUUUUUAUGUAUUAAUAGUUUAACUUAUAUAUAAUUUUACAUAUUAUUUAUGAGUUAACAAAAUUUUUGAAAUAAUUUUUAUUUAAAUUUAAAUUUAAAUAAUUUAUUUUAAAAGGUCUACAUGACAACUUUUUAAAAUCCGAACCGAAUUGUUUAGAUUUUUUUAAAAUGUUAUAAUUAUACAAGUUGGUUCAUAAAAUCACUCUCAAGUCAAUUUAGUUUUUUUUAUAGCAUUAAAUGAUGUAUCCAAAAUAAUUGAUCAGAUUAACUUAUAUGUCAGUCUAAAAUCAGCACUAAAUGUUAAACAAUUAUGUUAAAUUUAAUUUUUAUGAUUAAAAAUAUAAAUAUCAAUAGUCAUAUUAUUAAAUUUUAGAAAUAAAAUUUUUAACAAAAAUAAUUACUUCAUCUUUAAAUUGUUUUUCACUAUCAAUUGACUAAAUUAUAAUAAAAUUUAUAGCAGCCUCAGUGAAAGGGGGUGCUCAUUCUAGUAAAAGGCAUAAUGUUUUCUUUUUCUUUUUUUAUCUUUUAAUGUUAUAAAAAAGUCAUUUUAGUUUUUCAUUUACUUUUUUAUCUUUUAAGUCUUUAAAUUUGUAUUUUUGUCAAAUCACUCCAAAAAUGAAUGGAAAAGUUAACAUUUUUAACUUUGUUGAUGUUGUAUACAUGUGGACUGCUAUAGGGAUGACAUGCCAACAUUUAAUUAAUUUUUUAAAAUUUAAAAAAUUUAAAAUAUUAUAAAUGUUGGCGCCAUUUUUUUUGAUGAAAACGGGGUCGACUUGGGUUUUGAAAAAUGAAACGGGAGUCGCCACCAAUCCUUUUUUAUGAGGUGUGAUUGGAUCACCUUGAAAAGUGGUUGUUUUUAAUAAACGGUUUAGUUUUAUUAAAACAACGAUUUUGGUCCACAAAAUUCAGAAAAAUGGGUUCGGGAGUCGGUUACGCACGAGGAAGGAUUAGCACCCUCGAUACGCCCAAAAUUGGUACCUAAUUGAUUACUUAAUGUCUUAAUGUCGAAAACUUUGAAGAACUUUAAAAAAUACGAUCCUUAUAUUAAAAUAAAAAUUUUUGGGAAAAGUAGCAUAUUUCACGUUAAUCGAGAAAGAGAAUCAUAUCCAGUAAGUUAGGAUACAAUGUCUCAAAUUCCCAACACGCAAAUGAAAAAUGCUUAUUUAAAAGAUAUUUUAGCCAUCUCGGAUUUAAAAAUGAGAUCACGACCCGUAAGUUAGGACGCAAUUUUUUAAUCCCGAGAUCAUUUAAAAUUUGAGUUUAAAAAGAUUCGUCAUUUAGAUUUAUCGUGAAAAUCGAAACCCAGUAAGUUAAGAUACGAUCCUCUCGAAUCUAAAGACGAAAUAUUAUUUAUUCAAAACAAAUUAUGUUAUGUCGAGUAAAAUAAAACACUAAAAUCGUAGUAAAAAAAUGUGAAAGCAAUUUGCAUUGUUGUUAUUCAUGGCAAAAUCAUAAUGAAUACAAAAGUAUAAAAUGAUAUGAGCAAUAGCAACAAUAAUAAAUAAACGUUAGUCCUACAAUCAUAUAAAAUAACAAUGUAUAUAAACAAAUAAAUCAAAACUUUCAUUCAAAAUAAUAAUAAAAUGAAAUAAAUAGUGAACACAAAUAAAACGUAAAGGAAUAUAUAUAUGUAUAGAAAUGUAAAUUAAAAUAUGUGUGUAUACGUAAGUUACAAAAUAUAUGAAAUAUAUAUAAAGUAUAUUUUAAAAUAUAAAGAAAAAAUAAAUAUGUAUGAAGUGUAUGUAAGUAUAUAAAUAUGUAUAUAUAAUAAAGGUGUAUGAAAAUAUAUUUUAUAUACAUGUAUUUAUAAAAAAAUGCAUAUAGAUAUAUAUAGAUGGUUUUAAGCUAUGAAGUAUGAAAAAUAUGUACAUGUAUGAAUUAUAAAAUAUAUAAAAUAUGUACAUAUAUAUAUGUAAAAAUAUGUAUUUAUAUAUUUAUAAAGGUUAGAAAUAUGUACGUGUAUUAUAAAUAUAUAUGCAUAUAUAAAUAAAUUAUAAAAUAGGUAUGUUUAUAUGUAUAUAUAUAUAUAUUACAAAAAAAUGUGUAUAAGUAUAUGUAAAAAUAUAUAAUAAUAUAUGUAUAUAUCUAUAAAAGCAAUUAUAAUAAUAAUAAUAAUGCAAUAACAAUAAUAAUAUAAAAUUUGUAAAGAAAAUAAACAAAAUCACUAAAGGAUUAGAUUAAACAUUAAACAAGAUUCGGGGGGUUCAAAGCGCAAAUAAACGAAAGGGGAGGGAUUGCUCUGAACACGCAUGUAACAUGGAGGGACCAUCAAAGAAAAUUACCCUUCCUUUAAAACGGCGUAGUUCGAGUAAGGACGAAGUUGAAAAUACGAAAAAAUUUUGGGUAAAUUUAAAAGAUCAAAAGAACCUAAUUUAAAAAGCAUUAAAAAAGCGGAAGGGCUAAAGGUGCAAUUAGCCCUUCCGUCAAAAACACGCGGAUCCCUAGAUCAGACGGGUCGGGUCGCGGGUCGGAUCUCGGUUUAGACGCAAAACGGCGUCGUUUGAGGCCGAAUGAAACAGGCCAAAACGACGCCGUUUCAUUUAGGUAUUUAAACCAAUUUUUGUUUAAAAAAAUCAUUCAGCCCCAUUCCCCUUUUUUAAAAAAACUAAAAACUUCUCAGUUCUCUCUCCCUCUUCCCCUUUCUUGAUCUCGGGUCCGGCCGAGGGCCACCUUGUCGGCCGUCGGAUCGCCGGUGCCAGUGACGCCGUACACGGUGGCCGGCGAGUGGAGAAAGGCGUGCCCUUAGAGAUGCCUAUCUCCUAAACCCGAAUCCGGCCUCAAAAUGACCAAAAACGAAUGGGAAAAGGCUGUUAGGCUUCUCUACAGUCGGUUUCCUCACCGGAGAAGGAGUUUCCGACGAGGAGGAAACAGCGACCCGCGGUGAGUCUCUUUUUUCUUUAUUUUAUGUUUUUUAUUUCGUUUAAAAAAUCAAAAUAAAAUAAAAUAAAUACAACGAAAAAAAGAAAAAGUAAAUAUUGCAAUCGAAAACCCAGGGAAUCACCUUGAAGCUUGAUAUUUUUUAUUAUUCUGUUGAAAUUUGUUUUCUUGGUUACAAAUCGAAAAAAGAAAAAGAAGCCCUUUUGAUUUUUUCAAUCGGCCUUAUAUAGCCAAACUACAAAAUAAAAAAUCUCCUUUUGCUAUCCGUAUUUGCUGUUGCUUGUUGGUGUUUGUUGCAGGUACUGGCGGAGCAGUUGGAGCAGGUGAGUCGGUGGCAAGUGGGCGUGGUGACGGCUGUGAACAGAGGGCAGGUGAGGAGGCCAGGAGCAGGUGCGGCACAACAAGGGGCUAGGGUUUCUGCUAGGUGUUUAUGUUUUGGGCUGAUUGGGUUAGGCUAGUUGGGCCUGGGUAGUUUUUAGGUUAAAAUUUGUUAUUGGGCCCUGGGUCAAAAAUUGGGCUUGUACAGCUGCCCCUCUUUGCUCGUUGUCGUGUAACGAUAACAGAGCAAAGACUAAGAAAGACCAAUUUUUGUCCAGUCUUUGCCGAGUAUUGACUUCUCUUGACGCUUCUUUUCAAGUAACUUUAUUCUAGUCCACUGUGUCUUGUUGCGUCGACCCACUCCACUGUAACUUCCAAAAGACAAAACUUGUAGCUUCAAUCCACUCUAUUGUAGCUUCAGGGGGUAAGGUCCAUCAUUUUGACCCGCUCCACUGCAACUUCAGGGAGAUCGGACUCAUAUCUUCAACUUGCCCCACUACAACUUCAGGGGGAUAAGAUUCGUGACUUCAACCUGCUUUACUGCAACUUCAGAGAGACAAGGUUUGUGACUUCGCUUCCAUCUAUUCUACUACAACUUUAGGGGAAUAAGAUUAGACAUGAUAAGAAUCACUAUCUUCUGUCCGCUCCGCUACAACUUUAGGGAGACACGCCUUAUUGUUUUCAGUCUGUUCCACUGCAUCUUCAGGGAAAUAAGACUUGAUGCGAUCUACUCUGCUGUAACCUCAGAGAGAUAAGAUCUUUUAUUUUAAUCCGCUCCACUGUAACUUCAGGGAGAUAGGAUAGUGUCUUCGAUCUGCUCCGCUGUAAUCUCAGGGGGAUAAGAUCUGAAAUUCUUUGGUCUAUUCCACUGUAAUCUCAGGGAGAUAAGACCUGAUGUGAUCUUCUCUACUGUAACUUCAGAGAGAUAAGAUCUUUUAAUCCGCUCCAUUGUAAUCUCAAGGAGAUAGGAUUACUAUCCUUGAUCUGCUCCGCUGUAAUCUCAGUGAGAUAAGAUCUGAAAUUCUUUGGUCUGUUCCACUGUAAUCUCAGGGAGAUAAGACCUGUAUAAUAAACCUAAUUAUGCCUAAUGAUUAGGAUGACAUGAUCAAAAUGAAACAAAUGCUCCUAACUAGACAUAUGUGAAUGGUGUUUGCAUGAAUGCAGAAUUUUAUUUUUCCGAGAAUGAUCUCGCUUAGGUUAUCACUACUCGAAGUUUAUCAAGGUUUUGUGACUGAUGUGCUACAACGCCUUCUCGCUUGGCUGAUUUUUCUGAAGAAACAUUUAGCCAGACUGUCCCCAUUGUAAACCUCAAAGUUAUAUCCACUGGGAUGCCAAAAUUUGUACCAUCAUUCUCUCACAGUAAUCUAAGGGUAGAAAUAUGUGGCUUUUCCUCUGUCCUCUUUUAUCACAAUUUGGGGAUAUAGGAUCUGAACCGUUCUGGUUUCCUACACCAUUCUCAAGGUGUCGUACCAAAGUCUUAUGCGCAAGUGAAGGCUCUCUUCUCCGAGGUAACCUCUUCCUAUUGCCUGAUGAUCAUUGCUUGCUUGUUCAUUUAAGCUUUGUAAUUAACACGACAGCUUGUCAUUUUGUUCAAUCAAUGUUUAGACGACAAAAUCUGAAAGGAUAGUCUUUAACUUAGACUCUUCCUUCCUAGCUAUUUCACCCUUUAAACUUGGUAUUUUCUAAACAAUAGUCAUGUUUCAGGUCCCUAUAUUAUUUAGAAAUUUUCCAGAGUAAUGUGCAAAACUUCUUUCCUGAAAGUUUUAUUAGUUCGUUAAUCAUUAUUCCUAUGCAACAUGUUUGCAAAAAGAUCAUAACAAUGGAUAAGAAUAAAGCUAGCUCUGAUCAUAACUCAAAUAAAACAUCAAAGAUGGCGAAAGAAAGGUAACAAAGAAGUGGAUUGAGAAUGUGCGUUUUCACAAAAGGAAAGGAAGAAAUAAAGAAAAUAAAAAAAUGUAUUUUCAAGAAUACACAUAAGAACUAGGUGCCCCAGUUAUCACCGAUUGAGUUUCUCUGUACAAACUUUCCGAAGACCCUUCUAAGUUUGACAUGUGUUCAGGAGAUCUGUAAUACUCUGUCAAUGUUCCAAGACGUUGCAUAUCCUUUCUCAUUGGUUCAAGUAAAGGAAGAUCAUCAUAUCCCCCCGAUCAAAAUUUGAUCCGCUCAAGUCCUGAUGUUCCAAUCCUGCCCAAUACUUGAGUCGCCCUUUUCGGGUUUUCGACUCAAGCCCUCUUUGGUCUCAAAGUGCCCUUUACGGGUUUUCACCUUAGCCUCUCCAAAGUCUCCCCCUUUUUUUUUUUUUUAGGAAGCAAAGCGCCCUUUACGGGUUUUCACUUUGGUUCCCCUUUCUUUCAAGUGAAGUACUUCUUGACGGAGUCUGCGUUUACAGGAUUUGGUAAAUUUUUGCCAUCCAUCUCGCAUAGGAUCAAAGCUCCACCGGAAAAGGUCUUCUUUACAACAUAAGGGCCUUCCCAAUUUGGCAUCCAUUUUCCUCUAAAAUCUUUUUGCAUAGGAAGAAUCUUUUUUAGUACCAAGUCCCCUUCACGAAAUUCUCGGGGGCGAACCUUUUUAUUAUAGGCUCGCAUCAUUCGUUUCUGGUACAUUUGCCCAUGGUGAAUAGCUCUUAGCCUCUUUUCUUCUAUUAGGUUCAACUGAUCGUACCGAGAUUGGAUCCAAUCGGCUUCAUCCAACUGUAGCUCAGAUAACACCCGUAGAGAAGGGAUUUCAAUUUCAAUGGGUAAUACUGCCUCCAUUCCAUAAACCAGAGAAAAAGGCGUUGCCCCAGUAGAAGUUCUAACAGAUGUUCGAUAGGCAAGGAGAGCAAAUGAUAAUUUCUCAUGCCAAUCCUUGUAGGUUUCAGUCAUUUUCCCCACAAUCUUUUUAAUGUUUUUAUUGGCCGCCUCCACUGCACCAUUCAUUUUGGGACGAUACGGCGAUGAGUUAUGAUGCUUAAUUUUAAAUUUGCUACAAACUUCAGCUAUUGUGCUAUUAUUCAAGUUCAUCGCAUUGUCGGAUAUGAUCCUCUCAGGCAUUCCAUAUCGACAAAUGAUCUCCUUCUUCAAGAAUUUGCUGACUACUGCUUUCGUGACAUUUGCAUAUGAAGCAGCCUCCACCCACUUGGUAAAGUAAUCAAUUACUACGAAGAUGAAGCGAUGCCCAUUAGAAGCCUUUGGUGAUAUUGGCCCAAUAACAUCUAUACCCCACAUGGAAAACAGCCAAGGAGAGGUCAUGACGUGAAGAGGUGAAGGAGGCGCGUGUAUUUUGUCUCCGUAAAUUUGGCAUUUGUGGCACUUCCUGGCAUAAUCAAUACAAUCUCCUUCCAUUGUGGGCCAAUAGUACCCAAAUCUCAUGAUCUGUCUGGCCAUCGUGAAACCACUGGCGUGCGUCCCACAAAUACCCUCAUGGACUUCUUCCAAAAUUUUCUUGGCUUCUACAGCAUCCACACAUCUUAACAGUACUUGAUCCUUCCUUCUUUUAUAUAACACUUCUCCAUCUAAGACAUAUUCAAUGGCUAUCUUUCUCAGAGUUCUUUUGUCAUUCUCUGUCGCUUGAUCAGGGUAUUCCCGAUUCUUCACAUAUUGUAGGAUACUCUGAUACCAAGGACAAUCAUCUUUUCCCUCCUCCUCAAUAUUGCAGCAAUUAGCCGGGGUCUCAGAGAUACUCAUCUGGACAGGCCUCAUUGCCUCAAGUCUAUUCACCUGAAUCAUCGAAGCUAGAGUAGCUAAUGCAUCAGCCAUUUGGUUUUCCUCCCGUGGGAGGUAAUAGAAGGUGAUAUCGUCAAACUCCUCAGCCAAUUCAAGAACUAGUUUUCUAUAACCGAUUAGCUUAGGAUCUCUAGUCUCCCACUCCCCUUUAAGUUGGUAUAUCACCAACGCUGAAUCCCCGUAUACUCUCAAUACUUUGAUGUUCCAUUCAAUGGCUGCACGAAUGCCCAUAAUACAUGCUUCAUAUUCUGCCAUGUUAUUUGUACAAUCGAAGUCCAACUUGCUAGCAACAGGAUAAUGAUCUCCACUUGGGGAUACCAAGACUGCCCCAACUCCAUUACCCGUAGCAUUUGAAGCUCCAUCAAAAUUUAACUUCCAUACGUGAUCCAUUUGAGGAUUUUCUUCAGUAUUCGCCACAUACAUCAAGUCCUCGUUUGGAAAAUCGAAAUUCAAAGAUUCAUAGUCCUCCAAGGCUCUACUAGCUAGGAAAUCGGCUAUUGCACUUCCCUUUAUGGCCUUCUGACUGACAUAUACUAUAUCAAAUUCUGAGAGCAAGAUCUGCCAUCUAGCCAUUCUCCCGUUCAAAGCAGUCGAUUCCAUCAUAUAUUUUAAAGGAUCUAACUAUGAAAUCAGCCAAGUCGUGUGAUACAACAUAUACUGCCUCAGUCUUCGGGUUGCCCAGAUUAGAGCACAACACAACUUCUCAAUUGAUGAGUACCUCAUUUCGCAAUCGGUAAAUUUCUUACUGAGAUAGUAUAUUGCCCUUUCUUUCUUUCCCGCCUCAUCAUGUUGGCCCAAUACGCAUCCCAUGGAAUUCUCCAACACUGUUAGAUACAAUAUCAAUGGCCUAUCUGGACUUGGAGGUGAUAAGACUAGAGUAUUAGCCAAGUACUGCUUUAUCUUAUCGAAAGCCCUCUGACACUCUUCAUCCCAUUCGCCCGGAUUAUGUUUCUUUAAGAGCCGGAAUACUGGAUCACAUUUCUCUGUCAGUUGUGAGAUGAACCGAGCAAUGUAAUUCAGCCUCCCUAGGAAACCUCGAACCUCCUUCUGAGUGCGCGGGGGAGGUAAAUCUCGUAUUGCCUUUACUUUGUCUGGGUCAACCUCGAUCCCCUUUUUGCUAACUAUGAAGCCUAAUAACUUCCCUGAUCUGGCUCCAAACGUGCAUUUGGCCGGGUUAAGCUUGAGCUGAAAUUUUUUUAAUCUCAAAAAUAACCUUUUCAAGACCUGAACAUGCUCUUCUUCCGUUCUAGACUUCGCGAUCAUAUCGUCAACAUAGACUUCGAUCUCCUUGUGCAUCAUGUCAUGAAACAAAGUCACCAUAGCUCUUUGAUACGUUGCUCCCGCAUUCUUCAAUCCGAAGGGCAUUAUAUUGUAACAGAAUGUUCCCCAUAAGGUAAUGAAUGUGGGUUUCCUCAUGUCUCCAGGAUGCAUCUUUAUUUGAUUGUAUCCAGAGAAACCGUCCAUGAAAGAAAACAAUGAAUAGCCGGCCGUGUUAUCUACCAAAGUAUCAAUGUGAGGCAGUGGAAAGUUUUCCUUUGGACUAGCCUUGUUUAAAUCCCUAUAAUCCACACACAUUCGUACCUUUCCAUCUUUUUUGGGAACCGGGACGAUGUUGGCUACCCAAUCCGAAUACUUGACCUCUUGUAAGAAACCAGCGUCGAAUUGUCUUUUAACUUCUUCUCUUAUUUUCAACACAAUGUCAGGUCUCAUUCUCCUAAGCUUCUGUUGAACGGGUUUACAAUCCUCCUUUAUGGGCAGACGAUGCACCACAAUGUUAGUACUUAGCCCAGGCAUAUCUUGGUACGACCACGCGAAAACAUCCUUGAACUCUCAGAGCAAAUUAAUAAGGUCUUGCCUUGUCUUUGCGGUGAUUUCAGUUCCAAUUUUCACCUCCUUUUCGUCCUCUAGGCUCACUAUUUCUAACGAUUCCCUAUGAGGUAGGAUAUGCUUAUCCUCUUGUUCCAUCAUUCUUAACAAGUCCGGAGAUGCAUCAUAAUCUUCGUCAUUUUCAAAGUCGUGGGAUCCCUCUGAACACACUUCUUGCUCAAAAAUAGGCUCCAUGUUUGAGGCUCAUAAGGGCAGAUCUCCAACAAAGCCCUCCUUUCCGUUGCUUCUAUGGCGUUGGUAUAAACGUUUUCCAACAUUCCUCCCAUGCCGCUACCGGACACUCCACAUUCAGAAUGAAUAAAUCCUCCCGACACAAAAGAUGUAGAUAUGUGGGGAAAGGUUAAAGGCUCACACUUAGCUUCAUGUCCAUUCAAACGCGCCCUUCUUCUCUCUUGUCUCUUCUCUACUUCUUUCUUCUUCUGCUUCAUGUCUGGCUUGUACCCUAAACCAAAUCUAUCAAACUUUUCCUUCGGCAUUGGUGCCUCAAUCUUUCCCUGAAGAUAUUUUCCCAAUCCUUUCCCGGGUAAGGCUCCUCUUCCUACCAUCAAUCGCAAUCCCAUCUCAGUGGUUCUGGAUAUUUUCGGUACUGGAAUUCUAUUUCCCUCCGCAAUAAACAUCGCGUUCACAAAUUCUAACGACCGAAAAGAACAUUCUAGUGCCUCAUCGUUGAUGUCCACAUAAGGUGCAUCGCUAGUCAUCAUUGCGAUAAUAUCCUCCUCUGCAUCUAUUGUUACCAACCGAUCCUCCGAUACCAACUUCACCUUCUGAUGUAAUAAUGAAGGUACUGCCCCUGCUGAGUGUAUCCACGGUCUCCCCAAUAGACAGUUGUAGGAGGGUUUAAUAUCCAUUACCAAGAAAUCCACCUCAUAAGUGACUGGGCCAAUCCUUAAUGGUACCUCAAUUCUCCCCAUAACCUCCUUUUUUGUUCCAUCAAAUGCCCUUACUAUGCUCUGGCAUGCUUUCAUGUGCGAACUGUCUAUUGGUAAUCGACUAAGAGUGGACAAAGGCAAUACAUUUAGUGCAGAUCCAUUAUCAACCAAGGCCCCCGGGAGUGUGUACCCUUUGCAUCGGACAGUAACAUGCAGGGCUUUAGUAGAACCUCUUCCUCCGGAUGGUAUUUCAUCAUCACUGAAGAAGAUAAAAUUGUCAGCACCAAUAUUGUUGAUCAGCCGAUCCAGCUUGUUUACCGAAAUAUCGUCAGCCACAUAUGUUUCGUUUAGCACCUUUAAUAGUGCAUUCCGAUGUACUUCUGAGUUUAAGAGUAAAGCUAAUACAGAAAUGCGGGCUGGCUGUUUGUGCAGUUGCUCCGCAACACUGUAUUCACUGUGUUUCAAAAACUUCAAAAACUCCUUUGCCUCCUCUUCUUUUAUUGGUUCAUUUACCAAUGGUUCAACUUCUACUGCUUUCCCUUUCCUCUGUUCUUUCUUCCAAUUCUCUUCCCUGGACGACUCUGCUUGAGCAUCAUAUCUUUUUCCAUUGCGCGUGUAAGAACCUAUUUCCUGAUUUCUUUCUGCUUCUUUUCCCAAAAUGGUCACAUUGCACCCGUAAUUCCACGGCACCAUUUUGUUAUCCCUAUAAGAGAAAUUUGAUGGUUUCUGGAUUACAAUUUUUGGUGUUACCUGAGCCCUAACCUCAUUACCCUUAGGGCGUGAGAUAAUGACCACAGGAUGAUUUAUUUUUGGAGCCUUUGUUCCCAACUCUGUCGCGCAUAUGCUCCUCAUUUCUUUCGCAUCUUCGUAAAACCUCAUCUCCUUGUUAUCCAUCAUGCUUUGAACCAAAGCCUUAAAUCCUUCACAUUCUUGGAUUUCGUGCCCUGUUUUAUGGUGAAAUUCACAAUAAUUUCCCAUCUCAUGCCCUUCCUCAGAAUCUGAAAUAACCAAACCUCUUUUCGCCAUUUCUUUCCAGACCCGUUUCAAUGGAGUUUUUACUUCAGCAAUGUCAGUCUUGACUUCUUCUCCCGUACCUUCGCUAACCAUAUUCACCCCCUUAUCUGCGUGAUUAGGUAACGGAUUCUUUGCGUUAGGUGAGUCGUCAAGUUUGACAACACCUAAAUUGAUAAGUCCUUCUACUACCUUCUUGAAGGCCGUACAAUUUUCUAUCGAGUGCCCAGAAAUUCCCGCAUGAUAAUCACAUUGCGCGUUCGUAUCAUACCAUUUUGGAUACGGGGGUUGUAGAGGACUCAAGUAACGAGGAGCAACAACAUGUGCAUCGAAUAAAGUCUGAUACAACUCCUUGUAUGACAUCGGGAUUGGCGUGAAUUGGGGCUUUUCAGUAGUUUGCCUAGCUCCCGACUCUUGUCUUGAUGAUCCCUGUUGAUUAGCAACCACUUUCUUUGGUUGAUUCACGGUAAUUGACCUACCAUAAGCAUUCACAUUAUUCACUUCAUUUUCUCUUUUCCUCAGGGGUGCCCUCCUAUUAUUUUCUCCUCCAUCUAUUUUUCCACUUUUAAUGGCAUGCUCAAUCAUUUCACCGUUCAUGAUUAUAUCCGAGAAAUUUUUUGAAGCGCUUCCCAACAUGUGAGUGAUGAACGGGGCUUUCAAAGUAUUAAUAAAAAGCGUCGUCAUCUCUUUUUCCAAAAGCAGUGGUUGCACCUGAACCGCCACCUCUCGCCACCUCUGCGCAUAUUUUCUGAAGCUUUCGUUCGAUUUCUUCUCUAAAUUUUGCAGAGUUAUCCUGUCAGGUAUCAUUUCUGAGACAUGAUUGUAUUGUCUCAGGAAAGCCUGUGCUAAAUCCCUCCAAGUAGCAAUUUUAGCUCGGCUCAGCUGAUUGUACCACUUUGACGCCGCUCCCGUAAGACUUUCCUGAAAGCAAUGUAUUAAUAAUUGAUCAUUAUUAAUAUGCCCCGUCAUUCUUCUACAAAACAUAGUAAUAUGGGAUCCUGGGCAACUAGUCCCGUUGUAUUUCUCAAAUUCCGGCAUCUUAAAUUUGUAAGGGAGCACCAAGUCCGGAACCAAGCUCAGAUCCUUUGCAUCUAUUCCAUAGCUUUCGAUGCUUUCUAUUGCCCUAAACUUCUCUUCUAUCCAUUUCCAUUUCUCCUCAAAUUGUUUUGAAAAUUCCUCCUUCGCCUUGUCCUUUUCAACCAUCUCGUAAAGAUCUGGGACAGCAAUAUUAUUCGGGCUAUCACCGGGAUUAAAGCCCGCUCCGGGUUGAAAAUUCAUUGGGAUUGAAGCAUCGCCUUGGAACUGCUGGGGCCUAACCGACACAGAGGGUCUCCGCGGAUGCAGCUCAGUCUGUACUUGCGCAUGCGGAUGCGUGAAACCUAGAGGAUAAAGUGGUUCACCAUUGUUUUCUUCUUCACUAACAAUCACAGGACCUUUACCCUUAUCUACUCCCUUCAAUAAUUGCGUCAUCUUAGCCACCAGAUCAUUUUGGGACUCCUCCAUCUUUUGCACCAUGUCACGCUGAAUCUUUUCUAUUUGCUCUUUCAUUUGCGCCUGCAACUGGUCUUGCAUUUCUUUUUGAAGUCGCUCUAGCUUCUCCAACCUUUGGUCCAUAAUUUUUGUCUUAGCUCGGGUGCCGUAACUUUGUUGGUUUUCCAGGUUAACUGAAAUGAUUUUAUUCGAUUAGGUUUUUAAUGGUCAUUAAUGCAUAUGAUGUGAUGCAAUGCAUGAAAAGAAUGCAAAGAAAAAGAGGCACUGAUUCUAAUUCAACUUCAUUAGAAAACUUUACUAGAUAAAGAGUUUCUUUACAUAAAAUAGACUACAUAUAUGGCUUUGCCCUUACACUCAAAGCCUUAACCUUUCUAAGAAGCCAAGCUAACUCUCGGCCCCUGUUCGACACUAACUCAUACUUCAAACUUAAUAGAUCAGCCUGAACCGCUAGAGUUUACAGAUGAUCAGCUACUUCGCGCACUUGAGUCACCGCCUCUCCCAUAAUAUAAUCUCUUUCUCCAAUCUGCUCUUGAGACCGACGGAAUUGUCUUUGCCACUGCUCAUUACUUUCUUCCAGAAGCUCUAUCUGGAUUUCACUAUUUUGCAAUGCAUUCUCUAGCCCUCCUAUUUGUCUUUUUAAUUCUUCAAUUUUGUCUAAGCUCGCCCUUAAUUCAACCGUAGCAUUACGAUUACAGUACUGGUGAAGCGACCUUUCUAGUUCAGUUAUCCGGACCUUCAACUCCGUCUUCUCGUCUUGGCAAACUAGUAGACUCUUUCCCAAGGCGACUUCUCGAGCCCGAGUAUCCUGAAAUUUCUUUUCCCAUUGAUUAGCUUUCAUCUUUUCCUCCUGAAUUUCUUGUCGCCAUUGUUCUGGCGUUUUACCCAAGCCAGCAGCUCUUACCGACCUACGCAACUUCUUGUAAUCUGUCUUCAGGCUGUCCAAAUCUUCUUCUGCUUUGUUCUUUCCUUUUCUCAAUUUAUCGGCCUCUAACCUUUGAAUGUCCACAUCCAGUCCUAACUGCAUUUUUUCUUCCUCUAGUUGUUCUAUUUUCUUCCCCAAUUCUAAACUCCUUUUUUCAAAUUCUUGUUUGAUGAUUUCUAUCUCAGAAGGCAAAACUUGUAAAUGUUCCUCCAAAGAUCGAGCAGUUUCUGGAUUUGACGCCGGGAUGUUGUCGUUGAUCCUUUGAUCACGCCACCGACCAUACUCGGGGGUAAUUGUCGGACCCACGGCUAAGAUCUUCAUUCGACGAGUCUGGUUCCAGGCACUAGAUAUUUCCCGAACCUUCUUCUUGUAAUUGUCCUCCCUAUAGGAAAAAUCAUAAUAGGCCAACCCCUGCGUUGCUGGUAUGAAUUAUCGUGAUCUAUACUGUCUUGAUACGAAUAGAGGAGCAUAUCCGAUAGCUCCCCAUAUCCCGAGCAGCGGAACCCAGUCAAAAUCUCCACAUUGGUACAAUAUCUCAUCAGGAAUUAACCAAGGAGCCCUCCAUUCAAUAUCUUCAUCCUGGAGAUUCUGGAGUAUCUCUAUCCAUUUUUCUUCUGAAAUAUCAUCCCGUCUUGGCGUGGCCACCAAUUCUCCUAGAGGGGAGUAGCUAUCAGAGAAUACCCGAUAAGAGACCUUUUCGACUUUCCAGAAGUGGCUAUGGAACCAUGCCAAUAAAAGCUGCGCGCAUCCAAUAAACCUUCUCUCCCCUGCUUUUCGACACGCAUUCAAGGAUCUAAAAGUUUCAGCGAGUAUUGCCGGAACCGGCGUAACCCCUUUACUAAGCCGAUCAAACAAAUCAGAUACAGCCUCGUCUAUGUGUCCUAAAGCUUUGGGGAAAACCACUAGUCCAUAGAUACCUAAAGCGAAGACAUCGACCCUUUUCUUUAAGUCAGGAUGUACAAGCACCAAAUCUCGCAAACUUUUCCAAGGAACACAAUUACUGUUGCCCUUCUGUUGGAUCCGGGCAGCGACCCACUGCUCGCUCAUCCCAGUGAUGUUCAUUAAUUUCUUUAACAACGGAGGGACACAAGCAGCUCUGGAAUAAGCCUUGUCGACUUGAAUCUUUGGGCACCGAAGCAAGGUCGUAUACUCCUCCACAGUAGGCGUCAAAUCUACCUUCCCAAAAGUGAAACAACUGUAGGCAGGAUUCCAAAACUGAGCAAGGGCUCGGAAUAAAUACUUGUCCACUUUGACACUAAGCAGAUAAGGUAGGUCACCGUAGUUACAAUAGAACAGCUGCUUGGCCUCGACAUCCCAUUGAUCCCAGACUUCUUUCAUUUCUCGAAGGUCAUUCUGGAUUACACUGAUACGGGUAAAAUCCCACAAUUCUGACACGUACCCUUCGGUAAGACUAUCGCCUUUCUCCCGUUGUGUCGUUUCAGCCCAUAUUCGCACAGCCGCAUUAUCCUCUACUUUAUCAACAAACCCCUUUUCCAUGAUAAGCUUUCUACCAAGAAACUGAACGUAAAUCGACACCUCUUUUAGAAUGAAGAUGCCAUGCAAUCACAAACAAAGUAAAUUAGCAUUAAACACAGAAUAAGAUUUAAAAUAAGCGACAAAUAAAUACAACAUUCAUUUAGGUAAGCACUAAAAAUUUGGAGUAGCUCUACCUAGGUCAGUUCCUAUGGCUCAUUACAUGUGGUUUGGUUCUAAAGUAGGGUACCUGAACCAGCAAAUUCCUCGAUCCUCACCCAUUAUAGGCUCAUACGGACCAAGUUCGAUUCAGGGGGAUACAUUUCCCUAUGGCCAUGCGGAGAUGAAAAUCUCACGAAGACAUAGGUACGGAUAUAUCCCGAAAGCGAUUCACUAUCCCAUGCGGAGGUGAAAACCUCACGAAGGCGUAGCUUCUCACUCCCACCUAAAAAGGUGUGACCAACGGUCAUGCAAUGCAAUGCGGAAAGAUACCAAAAUUUAAACAAAUAGAGCAAUUAUAAACCCCAAUGAUGAUGAUUAUGAUAAAGACAGAUAAAAUGCGAUGAAAGGAUCGUAAUUUUAAACCGAAUUUUCAAUUUUUGACAAAAGACAAAAAGUAAUCACCACGUGGCUUGACCCUCUUAUCGGUGUCCCCAGUGGAGUCGCCAAGCUGUUGGCGCCAUUUUUUUUGAUGAAAACGGGGUCGACUUGGGUUUUGAAAAAUGAAACGGGAGUCGCCACCAAUCCUUUUUUAUGAGGUGUGAUUGGAUCACCUUGAAAAGUGGUUGUUUUUAAUAAACGGUUUAGUUUUAUUAAAACAACGAUUUUGGUCCACAAAAUUCAAAAAAAUGGGUUCGGGAGUCGGUUACGCACGAGGAAGGAUUAGCACCCUCGAUACGCCCAAAAUUGGUACCUAAUUGAUUACUUAAUGUCUUAAUGUCGAAAACUUUGAAGAACUUUAAAAAAUACGAUCCUUAUAUUAAAAUAAAAAUUUUUGGGAAAAGUAGCAUAUUUCACGUUAAUCGAGAAAGAGAAUCAUAUCCAGUAAGUUAGGAUACAAUGUCUCAAAUUCCCAACACGCAAAUGAAAAAUGCUUAUUUAAAAGAUAUUUUAGCCAUCUCGGAUUUAAAAAUGAGAUCACGACCCGUAAGUUAGGACGCAAUUUUUUAAUCCCGAGAUCAUUUAAAAUUUGAGUUUAAAAAGAUUCGUCAUUUAGAUUUAUCGUGAAAAUCGAAACCCAGUAAGUUAAGAUACGAUCCUCUCGAAUCUAAAGACGAAAUAUUAUUUAUUCAAAACAAAUUAUGUUAUGUCGAGUAAAAUAAAACACUAAAAUCGUAGUAAAAAAAUGUGAAAGCAAUUUGCAUUGUUGUUAUUCAUGGCAAAAUCAUAAUGAAUACAAAAGUAUAAAAUGAUAUGAGCAAUAGCAACAAUAAUAAAUAAACGUUAGUCCUACAAUCAUAUAAAAUAACAAUGUAUAUAAACAAAUAAAUCAAAACUUUCAUUCAAAAUAAUAAUAAAAUGAAAUAAAUAGUGAACACAAAUAAAACGUAAAGGAAUAUAUAUAUGUAUAGAAAUGUAAAUUAAAAUAUGUGUGUAUACGUAAGUUACAAAAUAUAUGAAAUAUAUAUAAAGUAUAUUUUAAAAUAUAAAGAAAAAAUAAAUAUGUAUGAAGUGUAUGUAAGUAUAUAAAUAUGUAUAUAUAAUAAAGGUGUAUGAAAAUAUAUUUUAUAUACAUGUAUUUAUAAAAAAAUGCAUAUAGAUAUAUAUAGAUGGUUUUAAGCUAUGAAGUAUGAAAAAUAUGUACAUGUAUGAAUUAUAAAAUAUAUAAAAUAUGUACAUAUAUAUAUGUAAAAAUAUGUAUUUAUAUAUUUAUAAAGGUUAGAAAUAUGUACGUGUAUUAUAAAUAUAUAUGCAUAUAUAAAUAAAUUAUAAAAUAGGUAUGUUUAUAUGUAUAUAUAUAUAUAUUACAAAAAAAUGUGUAUAAGUAUAUGUAAAAAUAUAUAAUAAUAUAUGUAUAUAUCUAUAAAAGCAAUUAUAAUAAUAAUAAUAAUGCAAUAACAAUAAUAAUAUAAAAUUUGUAAAGAAAAUAAACAAAAUCACUAAAGGAUUAGAUUAAACAUUAAACAAGAUUCGGGGGGUUCAAAGCGCAAAUAAACGAAAGGGGAGGGAUUGCUCUGAACACGCAUGUAACAUGGAGGGACCAUCAAAGAAAAUUACCCUUCCUUUAAAACGGCGUAGUUCGAGUAAGGACGAAGUUGAAAAUACGAAAAAAUUUUGGGUAAAUUUAAAAGAUCAAAAGAACCUAAUUUAAAAAGCAUUAAAAAAGCGGAAGGGCUAAAGGUGCAAUUAGCCCUUCCGUCAAAAACACGCGGAUCCCUAGAUCAGACGGGUCGGGUCGCGGGUCGGAUCUCGGUUUAGACGCAAAACGGCGUCGUUUGAGGCCGAAUGAAACAGGCCAAAACGACGCCGUUUCAUUUAGGUAUUUAAACCAAUUUUUGUUUAAAAAAAUCAUUCAGCCCCAUUCCCCUUUUUAAAAAAACUAAAAACUUCUCAGUUCUCUCUCCCUCUUCCCCUUUCUUGAUCUCGGGUCCGGCCGAGGGCCACCUUGUCGGCCGUCGGAUCGCCGGUGCCAGUGACGCCGUACACGGUGGCCGGCGAGUGGAGAAAGGCGUGCCCUUAGAGAUGCCUAUCUCCUAAACCCGAAUCCGGCCUCAAAAUGACCAAAAACGAAUGGGAAAAGGCUGUUAGGCUUCUCUACAGUCGGUUUCCUCACCGGAGAAGGAGUUUCCGACGAGGAGGAAACAGCGACCCGCGGUGAGUCUCUUUUUUCUUUAUUUUAUGUUUUUUAUUUCGUUUAAAAAAUCAAAAUAAAAUAAAAUAAAUACAACGAAAAAAAGAAAAAGUAAAUAUUGCAAUCGAAAACCCAGGGAAUCACCUUGAAGCUUGAUAUUUUUUAUUAUUCUGUUGAAAUUUGUUUUCUUGGUUACAAAUCGAAAAAAGAAAAAGAAGCCCUUUUGAUUUUUUCAAUCGGCCUUAUAUAGCCAAACUACAAAAUAAAAAAUCUCCUUUUGCUAUCCGUAUUUGCUGUUGCUUGUUGGUGUUUGUUGCAGGUACUGGCGGAGCAGUUGGAGCAGGUGAGUCGGUGGCAAGUGGGCGUGGUGACGGCUGUGAACAGAGGGCAGGUGAGGAGGCCAGGAGCAGGUGCGGCACAACAGGGGGCUAGGGUUUCUGCUAGGUGUUUAUGUUUUGGGCUGAUUGGGUUAGGCUAGUUGGGCCUGGGUAGUUUUUAGGUUAAAAUUUGUUAUUGGGCCCUGGGUCAAAAAUUGGGCUUGUACAAUAAAAUUAUUUUUAAAAAAUAAAAAUUAUUAAAAAAUACAAAAACAAUAUUUUUAAUAGUUUAGAGAUGAAUUAAAUGCUAACAUGUCAUCUACUCAGCAAUCCACAUGUAUAACACGUCAUGAAAGUUAAUAAACAUUUAUUUUUUCAUCCACUCUGGAGUGGCUUGACAGAAAAUGUAAAUUCAAGUGUUAAAAGAAGCGAAAAUUUUAAUGGAGGGCUAAAAUGACUUGUUUUGUGAAGUUGGAGGGCCAAAAAAUAAUUAUGCCAAAACUAAAUGAUUAAUAGAAAACAAGGGGAAAUUUGCAUGCAUCUAUAUAAUUUUAUUUCAAACCAUUGUCAUUAUCUUGAGAUAUACAUUGGCAAACAUUCAUUGAAUAUACCUUGGGAAAAAAAAAUACUACAAGACAACGAAAUUAAAUAUCAUAAUCAAAUGUUGAAAAUGAAUGAUAAGAAAUUUAAAUUAAAAAUCAAACAUAGUAGGCUUGAUGUGCAAGCUAUCUGCAAUCUUUUUUUUUAAUUGUUUUAUUAUAUAGAUUUUAAUAUUUCUUACGUCUUUUAUCAGUCAAUUUGAACUGAUGCAUUCAUUUGUUUCAUUCAUAUGGUGUUGGAUCACAUUAAAAAAUAUAUACAAUUAAUUAAUCAUUUUUAGCUUAAUAAAAAAUAUAUAAUCUUGAUUGGUAUGAGUAUUAUUAUUAAUGUAAGAGGAUCUAGUUUUAAGUGUGCUUAAGCGCAUUAUCCUCCUAUUUAUGGGUUGAGGAGGGGUUAUGGGUAAUUUUAGGCAUUAUGUCAAAAAGAGCAUAUAUGAUCAGAACUUGUAAUGAAAUUAUUAAAAAAAAUGUAUAAACAUAAACAAUUUUGUUUACAUAAUUUUUAGAUAUAAAUGAGCUUUGGAUUCAAAUAAUUUUGUGUUGCUUGAGGUUUUCGGAUCUAUUUACUCUCAUUUAAGUUGUAAAGUUUUUACGAGAGGUAAAAUGUAAUUUCAUUAUUUUAAUAGCUUACGUCUUUAUAAUUAAUUAAAGGUUAAAUCAAAAUUUUAUUAUUUUUGAAAGCUAAUGUGUGAUUUUUACCAUGUAGUAAUUUUUAUAAUUUAUAAAAUUUAAAACACUAAAACAUAAACUUACCAUUUUAGGGUGCAGAGCCAGCCCCUAUAUUUUGAAUUUGAAGCAAUUUAAGUUUAAAUUUGUAAUUUUUUAUGAUUAAAUAAAAAUAAAAUAAGCUUUAUUUUAAAUUGAUCAAGUAAAAUUUAUCAAGUCAAAUUUUGAGUUAGAAAUCAAAAUUGUGAGGUUUACCUAUAUUAAGAAAAAUUAGCUACUAAAAAAUUGUUAAUAUAUAAAUUUGUGUGUUGGCUUGUUGGUCAGGGUAUUCAUCGCCCCAAAUGUGAUUUGGGUUCGAGUCGCGUUACUGUUAACGUUUUGUCAUCCUCUUGUAAUUUACUAAAAAAUUGUUAAUAUAUAUUAUAUAAAGAUAGUAAACUGUUGACUAACAUAAUGUCAUCAUUCAUAGAGGAAAAAAAAAGGCACAUUGAUCAUAUUUUCAGCCAUCCAUAAAAUAGCAGUAAAAUAAUUGACUUGAGAAAUAACACAUAAAAUCAUAUGAUAUAUUUGAUACACUGAGAGCAUUGAAGAGUCAUUUGAAUCAUCGUAAAAGACAAAGUAGACAAUUCAGUGACGAAAUUCUCAAUAUAUAUAACUACGAAAUUCCACACAAAAUUGUGAAAACAACGAAAAAUAUCUAAUAAAAAUAAACCAUUCAAACAAGACCGCUUGACUCUUUGAGUAAUGAAUUUUUUUUCACAAUUAAUUUAACAUGUUUUUCCAAUUUGAAUAGUAAACACUAUAGUUGCAAUUCAGUCAAUACUAGAAAUUUAUAUUUUAAACCCAUCGUUUAGAAUAUUCCAUUUUUUACAUUGGAAAUAACACAAAAGAUUCAAAGGAAAAAUAAGCAAAUUUCAUCAAAGGCGUCUAUUUGUAAUGGAAAAUUUAUAAUGUGGAUCCUUGUAUUAUAAACUAAAGAACAAAUUAACUCCUUAAGUAUAAAAGUGAGCAAUUUAGUCCUUUAGGUCUUUUCUCUUUUUUCUCCAAGCCGUUUGUUUCUUCUUUUUUGUUUUGCGUAGCAACGGUGGCAAUCUCCGGGCUGGCUACUGCCCACCUUUUGCUCCCUCCAUUCCAUAUGUUUUCUCUCUUUUCAAUUGAUACAUCUAUUUUGUAGGUAUCUUUGUUGCCUUCACAUGUUGUGAUGGACAGAUGAUGAUGCCUAUCGUCGCUGAAAUUACCCUGGCCAUCAACAGUUUCUCUAAGAAAGUGGGUGACUUUUAAUUGGCUCUUGAUCUAUUUUUGUUUGGAGAGUAUUUUAGAAUAAUAAAUAAUUUUACGAAUCAGUUUGGACCUCUAGUAUUUUAAGUCGUCACCAUUCAUUCCAUGAAUGGAAUCAUAUCAUUUAUGUAAAAGAUAAAACUUAAACAUGUCUUUAUAUUUGUAAAAACUUAACAAUAAGAAGGCUUGACUAUUUGAAUAAGUUAUUUUUCACAAUAUUUUCAAUUUGAAUUGUAAGUACUCCAUAGUUGUAUGAUUCAGUGAAUACUAGAAAUUUAUAUUCAAAACCCAUCAUUUAAAAUUUUCUGAUACAUUAGAAUUGAGAAGAAAAAUAUUUAGAGUAAGCAAAUUUCAGCAAUGGCGUCUAUAUUUAUAAUUGAAAGUUAUCAAUAAAAUUAAUAUCUUAUUUCUUUUUAAUAUUUUAUUGUGCAUGCGUAGUUUUACUAAUGGCAUUGAUAUCCCAGAAUUAAAAUAUUUCCAACAAGCAUGUGCUCUAUUGAUUGACUUUAAAGUCUCUAGAUUUUUAAAAUGAAUUUACUAAAAAAAUGAAAAAAAAUUAUUAGAAUUAAUUUUUAUUAAUUGAUAAUAAACUUAUGAAUAAUUAAGUAUUACAUUUUUAUUAAUUCCAAAUCAAACUUCUUUUUUUAUAUAAUACCUAAAACUACUUAUAAUCCCUUCCUAAUCCUUAAAUAAGAAAAUAAUGUGUUUCAACAUAUUCAAACCCACAUCUUCCUGCACUGACAGAUUAUAUAAAUUUAAAUAUUCAAUAUAUAUAUUUCUCUAAAACUGACAUGUUGAAAAAGGAAAUCACAACUAUAAAACAAUCAUCUUCAAAGUUUCAAUAAUAAAAUAAGUAUAAUACAAAUUUAAUGAUAAAUUCAUGAUGUGUUAGGAUAUAAAACUAAUAUUUUAAAAAAACGAUAUGAAAUUAUAAAUUCUAUUGUGAUUAUAGUAUAUUUAUAAAUGAAUGUUGGGAUAAUUAUAAAAUGGAAUUAAAUUAAUAUAAAAUACAUUAAAAAUUAAAAUAAUUAAAACUAAAAUUGAUUCAUUGGACAAAAAUAUACACUUAACAACGACGCAUUAUAAAAGUAAAGAUCUAGAUAUGAUAAUUGCAUAUAAUAAAAUUUAAAUAUAAAUAUAAAAUACUUAAAAAUUUCAACCAACAAUAUCUUCGUUAAAAUUAUAAAUUCGCUUGAUUAUUUUCCUUUGAUUUAACACAUCUUCUUUUGGUAGCCGUCUGUACCUGACUCGACCAGUUAACCCACAAAACAUUUUACAUGUACAAUAAUGACACAAUUUCGCUCAGGCCUAAUUUACAUAUAAAUACAAAAUUACAAAUCCAAAUAAAAAUAUUACAAGCCCAAAUGUAAAAAGGAAGCCCAGUGGCCCAAAAAACUUAAACAUUUUCAGAAGGACAGAAACCUUAGCCAGCGCGCCGCCCUCUCUGCUUUGCCAGCGGUUUCGUUGCCUGAGGUUUGACGCCUCAUCUGCCAGUUGUCGCCAUCGACUAGGGACACUUGCAAAAAAGGAAGAACAAGGACAGAAGCACAACACCCAAGAAAAAACAGUAGAAACAGUAGAAAAACAGUAAAAAAGAGAGUGUAAUUCGACUAUAAAAGCCAUGACUUUUAUGUAUUUCUUUACAAGAAAAAAAGGAAUAAAAAACAGAACACAAAGAAAACAUUUUUAAAGGUGAUUUUCUUCAUUUUUUUAUCUGUUAUUUUUAGAAAAAAAACAUAAAACAUAAAAUCAAAAAAACUUACUGAGCCGUUUCAUGUUCCACCGCCGCGAGUAGACGAGGACACCGUCCGCGAUGACGGACGGCUCCCUUCGGUGAGACCUCCGAGUCACUUCUGUUUUGUCUAAGGACCACGGCGGAGAAAACCAAGGGGUUGUUCAGAUUUUUUUUAAUUUUUUGUUGGGUUUUGGAAAGUACUGACCCCGGAUUCGGGCUCAAGAAGCCGUAACGGCCAAAAAAUGGUUGCUUGUAGAUUCUAGCCACCGGGAACAGUGAAAUCAUCGCCGGCGCCAGGGGCAAACGUGGAAAACCGAGAGAGAAAAAAAGACUCAGUUUUUUUAAGAAAAACUAAACAUAAUGAUUUUUUUUUUUAAUUUGGCUUAUAUAGGCGAGGCUAAACGACGUCGUUUAAAGCUGGCUUCAAUAGCCCCAAAACGACGUCAUUUUGAAACAUGACCCGAAUACAAACAGGAUCCGCAUGUUUUCUUAAGAAAGGGUCUAAUUUUUACUUCAGUCCUUCUGCUUUUUAAUUGAUUUUCAAUCUAGUCCUAUUUCUUUUUUUUUAAUUUUUGCCCAGUGAUUUUGUUUCUUUUUAGUCCCUCAUGGAACGGUGUGUUUGCGGGCCUGGGAAUAAUUUCCUAGUUGGUCCGUCCUUGUAAUACCCCAAAAAUUACUACAGGAAUAAAGUAAUAUAGUAUCCUUGAUAUAGUAAAAUCAGGAAAUAAAGUGACAAAAAGGGAAAUUUUGAGUUAUGUCAACAUUGGGAAGUAUAUUAUGACAUAUUAAUGCAAAAAAAGAUUAAAUCGCAAAAGUGAGAAAAGUUUUGUUGCCCAAGAGUAAAUACUCAAAAAUUGAGGGGUUAAAGUGUAAAUAUAAAAAAGUUCAAAGACCAAUAGUGAAAAUAUUUUAAGGGUGGAAUGAUAUAGAAAAUAAGGAAAAUGGAUGAAUUAUGACCAAAUUGAAUAGGUGAAGAAUUAUGAUGGACUAAAUCAUAAUUUUACCAAAUUAAGUGAUGACUCAAUGAUGGAAUUUUAAAAGAUCAUGAAGGGCAAAAUGGUCAAUUAGAAAGAGAGAGAACUCUAAAAGGUAAUGAUGAUGUUGGUGAUAUUUUUAAUUAAUUAAUUAGAUAAAUGUUAUUUAAUUAAUAUUUUAUUUAGAUUUUUAGUAUUAUUUUCUUUAUAAUUUGGUUAUUUUACCAAAAAUUCACCAUUUUCACUUAGAAAUCAAAAGAAUUUCUAUAGCUACCAAGANNNNNNNNNNNNNNNNNNNNNNNNNNNNNNNNNNNNNNNNNNNNNNNNNNNNNNNNNNNNNNNNNNNNNNNNNNNNNNNNNNNNNNNNNNNNNNNNNNNNNNNNNNNNNNNNNNNNNNNNNNNNNNNNNNNNNNNNNNNNNNNNNNNNNNNNNNNNNNNNNNNNNNNNNNNNNNNNNNNNNNNNNNNNNNNNNNNNNNNNNNNNNNNNNNNNNNNNNNNNNNNNNNNNNNNNNNNNNNNNNNNNNNNNNNNNNNNNNNNNNNNNNNNNNNNNNNNNNNNNNNNNNNNNNNNNNNNNNNNNNNNNNNNNNNNNNNNNNNNNNNNNNNNNNNNNNNNNNNNNNNNNNNNNNNNNNNNNNNNNNNNNNNNNNNNNNNNNNNNNNNNNNNNNNNNNNNNNNNNNNNNNNNNNNNNNNNNNNNNNNNNNNNNNNNNNNNNNNNNNNNNNNNNNNNNNNNNNNNNNNNNNNNNNNNNNNNNNNNNNNNNNNNNNNNNNNNNNNNNNGGCUUUAGUAGAACCUCUUCCUCCGGAUGGUAUUUCAUCAUCACUGAAGAAGAUAAAAUUGUCAGCACCAAUAUUGUUGAUCAGCCGAUCCAGCUUGUUUACCGAAAUAUCGUCAGCCACAUAUGUUUCGUUUAGCACCUUUAAUAGUGCAUUCCGAUGUACUUCUGAGUUUAAGAGUAAAGCUAAUACAGAAAUGCGGGCUGGCUGUUUGUGCAGUUGCUCCGCAACACUGUAUUCACUGUGUUUCAAAACUUCAAAAACUCCUUUGCCUCCUCUUCUUUUAUUGGUUCAUUUACCAAUGGUUCAACUUCUACUGCUUUCCCUUUCCUCUGUUCUUUCUUCCAAUUCUCUUCCCUGGACGACUCUGCUUGAGCAUCAUAUCUUUUUCCAUUGCGCGUGUAAGAACCUAUUUCCUGAUUUCUUUCUGCUUCUUUUCCCAAAAUGGUCACAUUGCACCGUAAUUCCACGGCACCAUUUUGUUAUCCCUAUAAGAGAAAUUUGAUGGUUUCUGGAUUACAAUUUUUGGUGUUACCUGAGCCCUAACCUCAUUACCCUUAGGGCGUGAGAUAAUGACCACAGGAUGAUUUAUUUUUGGAGCCUUUGUUCCCAACUCUGUCGCGCAUAUGCUCCUCAUUUCUUUCGCAUCUUCGUAAAACCUCAUCUCCUUGUUAUCCAUCAUGCUUUGAACCAAAGCCUUAAAUCCUUCACAUUCUUGGAUUUCGUGCCCUGUUUUAUGGUGAAAUUCACAAUAAUUUCCCAUCUCAUGCCCUUCCUCAGAAUCUGAAAUAACCAAACCUCUUUUCGCCAUUUCUUUCCAGACCCGUUUCAAUGGAGUUUUUACUUCAGCAAUGUCAGUCUUGACUUCUUCUCCCGUACCUUCGCUAACCAUAUUCACCCCCUUAUCUGCGUGAUUAGGUAACGGAUUCUUUGCGUUAGGUGAGUCGUCAAGUUUGACAACACCUAAAUUGAUAAGUCCUUCUACUACCUUCUUGAAGGCCGUACAAUUUUCUAUCGAGUGCCCAGAAAUUCCCGCAUGAUAAUCACAUUGCGCGUUCGUAUCAUACCAUUUUGGAUACGACUCAAGUAACGCAACAACAUGUGCAUCGAAUAAAGUCUGAUACAACUCCUUGUAUGACAUCGGGAUUGGCGUGAAUUGGGGCUUUUCAGUAGUUUGCCUAGCUCCCGACUCUUGUCUUGAUGAUCCCUGUUGAUUAGCAACCACUUUCUUUGGUUGAUUCACGGUAAUUGACCUACCAUAAGCAUUCACAUUAUUCACUUCAUUUUCUCUUUUCCUCAGGGGUGCCCUCCUAUUAUUUCUCUCCAUCUUAUUUUUCCACUUUUAAUGGCCUAUGCUCAAUCCUUUCAACGUUCAUGAUUAUAUCCGAGAAAUUUUUUGAAGCGCUUCCCAACAUGUGAGUGAUGAACGGGGCUUUCAAAGUAUUAAUAAAAAGCGUCGUCAUCUCUUUUUCCAAAAGCAGUGGUUGCACCUGAACCGCCACCCUCUCGCCACCUCUGCGCAUAUUUCUGAAGCUUUCGUUCGAUUUCUUCUCUAAAUUUUGCAGAGUUAUCCUGUCAGGUAUCAUUCUGAGGACAUGAUUGUAUUGUCUCAGGAAAGCCUGUGCUAAAUCCCUCCAAGUAGCAAUUUUAGCUCGGCUCAGCUGAUUGUACCACUUUGACGCCGCUCCCGUAAGACUUUCCUGAAAGCAAUGUAUUAAUAAUUGAUCAUUAUUAAUAUGCCCCGUCAUUCUUCUACAAAACAUAGUAAUAUGGGAUCCUGGGCAACUAGUCCCGUUGUAUUUCUCAAAUUCCGGCAUCUUAAAUUUGUAAGGGAGCACCAAGUCCGGAACCAAGCUCAGAUCCUUUGCAUCUAUUCCAUAGCUUCGAUGCUUUCUAUUGCCCUAAACUUCUCUUCUAUCCAUUUCCAUUUCUCCUCAAAUUGUUUUGAAAAUUCCUCCUUCGCCUUGUCCUUUUCAACCAUCUCGUAAAGAUCUGGGACAGCAAUAUUAUUCGGGCUAUCACCGGGAUUAAAGCCCGCUCCGGGUUGAAAAUUCAUUGGGAUUGAAGCAUCGCCUUGGAACUGCUGGGGCCUAACCGACACAGAGGGUCUCCGCGGAUGCAGCUCAGUCUGUACUUGCGCAUGCGGAUGCGUGAAACCUAGAGGAUAAAGUGGUUCACCAUUGUUUUCUUCUUCACUAACAAUCACAGGACCUUUACCCUUAUCUACUCCCUUCAAUAAUUGCGUCAUCUUAGCCACCAGAUCAUUUUGGGACUCCUCCAUCUUUUGCACCAUGUCACGCUGAAUCUUUUCUAUUUGCUCUUUCAUUUGCGCCUGCAACUGGUCUUGCAUUUCUUUUUGAAGUCGCUCUAGCUUCUCCAACCUUUGGUCCAUAAUUUUUGUCUUAGCUCGGGUGCCGUAACUUUGUUGGUUUUCCAGGUUAACUGAAAUGAUUUUAUUCGAUUAGGUUUUUAAUGGUCAUUAAUGCAUAUGAUGUGAUGCAAUGCAUGAAAAGAAUGCAAAGAAAAAGAGGCACUGAUUCUAAUUCAACUUCAUUAGAAAACUUUACUAGAUAAAGAGUUUCUUUACAUAAAAUAGACUACAUAUAUGGCUUUGCCCUUACACUCAAAGCCUUAACCUUUCUAAGAAGCCAAGCUAACUCUCGGCCCCUGUUCGACACUAACUCAUACUUCAAACUUAAUAGAUCAGCCUGAACCGCUAGAGUUUACAGAUGAUCAGCUACUUCGCGCACUUGAGUCACCGCCUCUCCCAUAAUAUAAUCUCUUUCUCCAAUCUGCUCUUGAGACCGACGGAAUUGUCUUUGCCACUGCUCAUUACUUUCUUCCAGAAGCUCUAUCUGGAUUUCACUAUUUUGCAAUGCAUUCUCUAGCCCUCCUAUUUGUCUUUUUAAUCUUCAAUUUUGUCUAAGCUCGCCCUUAAUUCAACCGUAGCAUUACGAUUACAGUACUGGUGAAGCGACCUUUCUAGUUCAGUUAUCCGGACCUUCAACUCCGUCUUCUCGUCUUGGCAAACUAGUAGACUCUUUCCCAAGGCGACUUCUCGAGCCCGAGUAUCCUGAAAUUUCUUUUCCCAUUGAUUAGCUUUCAUCUUUUCCUCCUGAAUUUCUUGUCGCCAUUGUUCUGGCGUUUUACCCAAGCCAGCAGCUCUUACCGACCUACGCAACUUCUUGUAAUCUGUCUUCAGGCUGUCCAAAUCUUCUUCUGCUUUGUUCUUUCCUUUUCUCAAUUUAUCGGCCUCUAACCUUUGAAUGUCCACAUCCAGUCCUAACUGCAUUUUUUCUUCCUCUAGUUGUUCUAUUUUCUUCCCCAAUUCUAAACUCCUUUUUUCAAAUUCUUGUUUGAUGAUUUCUAUCUCAGAAGGCAAAACUUGUAAAUGUUCCUCCAAAGAUCGAGCAGUUUCUGGAUUUGACGCCGGGAUGUUGUCGUUGAUCCUUUGAUCACGCCACCGACCAUACUCGGGGGUAAUUGUCGGACCCACGGCUAAGAUCUUCAUUCGACGAGUCUGGUUCCAGGCACUAGAUAUUUCCCGAACCUUCUUCUUGUAAUUGUCCUCCCUAUAGGAAAAAUCAUAAUAGGCCAACCCCUGCGUUGCUGGUAUGAAUUAUCGUGAUCUAUACUGUCUUGAUACGAAUAGAGGAGCAUAUCCGAUAGCUCCCCAUAUCCCGAGCAGCGGAACCCAGUCAAAAUCUCCACAUUGGUACAAUAUCUCAUCAGGAAUUAACCAAGGAGCCCUCCAUUCAAUAUCUUCAUCCUGGAGAUUCUGGAGUAUCUCUAUCCAUUUUUCUUCUGAAAUAUCAUCCCGUCUUGGCGUGGCCACCAAUUCUCCUAGAGGGGAGUAGCUAUCAGAGAAUACCCGAUAAGAGACCUUUUCGACUUUCCAGAAGUGGCUAUGGAACCAUGCCAAUAAAAGCUGCGCGCAUCCAAUAAACCUUCUCUCCCCUGCUUUUCGACACGCAUUCAAGGAUCUAAAAGUUUCAGCGAGUAUUGCCGGAACCGGCGUAACCCCUUUACUAAGCCGAUCAAACAAAUCAGAUACAGCCUCGUCUAUGUGUCCUAAAGCUUUGGGGAAAACCACUAGUCCAUAGAUACCUAAAGCGAAGACAUCGACCCUUUUCUUUAAGUCAGGAUGUACAAGCACCAAAUCUCGCAAACUUUUCCAAGGAACACAAUUACUGUUGCCCUUCUGUUGGAUCCGGGCAGCGACCCACUGCUCGCUCAUCCCAGUGAUGUUCAUUAAUUUCUUUAACAACGGAGGGACACAAGCAGCUCUGGAAUAAGCCUUGUCGACUUGAAUCUUUGGGCACCGAAGCAAGGUCGUAUACUCCUCCACAGUAGGCGUCAAAUCUACCUUCCCAAAAGUGAAACAACUGUAGGCAGGAUUCCAAAACUGAGCAAGGGCUCGGAAUAAAUACUUGUCCACUUUGACACUAAGCAGAUAAGGUAGGUCACCGUAGUUACAAUAGAACAGCUGCUUGGCCUCGACAUCCCAUUGAUCCCAGACUUCUUUCAUUUCUCGAAGGUCAUUCUGGAUUACACUGAUACGGGUAAAAUCCCACAAUUCUGACACGUACCCUUCGGUAAGACUAUCGCCUUUCUCCCGUUGUGUCGUUUCAGCCCAUAUUCGCACAGCCGCAUUAUCCUCUACUUUAUCAACAAACCCCUUUUCCAUGAUAAGCUUUCUACCAAGAAACUGAACGUAAAUCGACACCUCUUUUAGAAUGAAGAUGCCAUGCAAUCACAAACAAAGUAAAUUAGCAUUAAACACAGAAUAAGAUUUAAAAUAAGCGACAAAUAAAUACAACAUUCAUUUAGGUAAGCACUAAAAAUUUGGAGUAGCUCUACCUAGGUCAGUUCCUAUGGCUCAUUACAUGUGGUUUGGUUCUAAAGUAGGGUACCUGAACCAGCAAAUUCCUCGAUCCUCACCCAUUAUAGGCUCAUACGGACCAAGUUCGAUUCAGGGGGAUACAUUUCCCUAUGGCCAUGCGGAGAUGAAAAUCUCACGAAGACAUAGGUACGGAUAUAUCCCGAAAGCGAUUCACUAUCCCAUGCGGAGGUGAAAACCUCACGAAGGCGUAGCUUCUCACUCCCACCUAAAAAGGUGUGACCAACGGUCAUGCAAUGCAAUGCGGAAAGAUACCAAAAUUUAAACAAAUAGAGCAAUUAUAAACCCCAAUGAUGAUGAUUAUGAUAAAGACAGAUAAAAUGCGAUGAAAGGAUCGUAAUUUUAAACCGAAUUUUCAAUUUUUGACAAAAGACAAAAAGUAAUCACCACGUGGCUUGACCCUCUUAUCGGUGUCCCCAGUGGAGUCGCCAAGCUGUUGGCGCCAUUUUUUUUGAUGAAAACGGGGUCGACUUGGGUUUUGAAAAAUGAAACGGGAGUCGCCACCAAUCCUUUUUUAUGAGGUGUGAUUGGAUCACCUUGAAAAGUGGUUGUUUUUAAUAAACGGUUUAGUUUUAUUAAAACAACGAUUUUGGUCCACAAAAUUCAAAAAAAUGGGUUCGGGAGUCGGUUACGCACGAGGAAGGAUUAGCACCCUCGAUACGCCCAAAAUUGGUACCUAAUUGAUUACUUAAUGUCUUAAUGUCGAAAACUUUGAAGAACUUUAAAAAAUACGAUCCUUAUAUUAAAAUAAAAAUUUUUGGGAAAAGUAGCAUAUUUCACGUUAAUCGAGAAAGAGAAUCAUAUCCAGUAAGUUAGGAUACAAUGUCUCAAAUUCCCAACACGCAAAUGAAAAAUGCUUAUUUAAAAGAUAUUUUAGCCAUCUCGGAUUUAAAAAUGAGAUCACGACCCGUAAGUUAGGACGCAAUUUUUUAAUCCCGAGAUCAUUUAAAAUUUGAGUUUAAAAAGAUUCGUCAUUUAGAUUUAUCGUGAAAAUCGAAACCCAGUAAGUUAAGAUACGAUCCUCUCGAAUCUAAAGACGAAAUAUUAUUUAUUCAAAACAAAUUAUGUUAUGUCGAGUAAAAUAAAACACUAAAAUCGUAGUAAAAAAAUGUGAAAGCAAUUUGCAUUGUUGUUAUUCAUGGCAAAAUCAUAAUGAAUACAAAAGUAUAAAAUGAUAUGAGCAAUAGCAACAAUAAUAAAUAAACGUUAGUCCUACAAUCAUAUAAAAUAACAAUGUAUAUAAACAAAUAAAUCAAAACUUUCAUUCAAAAUAAUAAUAAAAUGAAAUAAAUAGUGAACACAAAUAAAACGUAAAGGAAUAUAUAUAUGUAUAGAAAUGUAAAUUAAAAUAUGUGUGUAUACGUAAGUUACAAAAUAUAUGAAAUAUAUAUAAAGUAUAUUUUAAAAUAUAAAGAAAAAAUAAAUAUGUAUGAAGUGUAUGUAAGUAUAUAAAUAUGUAUAUAUAAUAAAGGUGUAUGAAAAUAUAUUUUAUAUACAUGUAUUUAUAAAAAAAUGCAUAUAGAUAUAUAUAGAUGGUUUUAAGCUAUGAAGUAUGAAAAAUAUGUACAUGUAUGAAUUAUAAAAUAUAUAAAUAUGUACAUAUAUAUAUGUAAAAAUAUGUAUUUAUAUAUUUAUAAAGGUUAGAAAUAUGUACGUGUAUUAUAAAUAUAUAUGCAUAUAUAAAUAAAUUAUAAAAUAGGUAUGUUUAUAUGUAUAUAUAUAUAUAUUACAAAAAAAUGUGUAUAAGUAUAUGUAAAAAUAUAUAAUAAUAUAUGUAUAUAUCUAUAAAAGCAAUUAUAAUAAUAAUAAUAAUGCAAUAACAAUAAUAAUAUAAAAUUUGUAAAGAAAAUAAACAAAUCACUAAAGGAUUAGAUUAAACAUUAAACAAGAUUCGGGGGGUUCAAAGCGCAAAUAAACGAAAGGGGAGGGAUUGCUCUGAACACGCAUGUAACAUGGAGGGACCAUCAAAGAAAUUACCCUUCCUUUAAAACGGCGUAGUUCGAGUAAGGACGAAGUUGAAAAUACGAAAAAAUUUUGGGUAAAUUUAAAAGAUCAAAAGAACCUAAUUUAAAAAGCAUUAAAAAAGCGGAAGGGCUAAAGGUGCAAUUAGCCCUUCCGUCAAAAACACGCGGAUCCCUAGAUCAGACGGGUCGGGUCGCGGGUCGGAUCUCGGUUUAGACGCAAAACGGCGUCGUUUGAGGCCGAAUGAAACAGGCCAAAACGACGCCGUUUCAUUUAGGUAUUUAAACCAAUUUUUGUUUAAAAAAAUCAUUCAGCCCCAUUCCCCUUUUUUAAAAAAACUAAAAACUUCUCAGUUCUCUCUCCCUCUUCCCCUUUCUUGAUCUCGGGUCCGGCCGAGGGCCACCUUGUCGGCCGUCGGAUCGCCGGUGCCAGUGACGCCGUACACGGUGGCCGGCGAGUGGAGAAAGGCGUUGCCCUUAGAGAUGCCUAUCUCCUAAACCCGAAUCCGGCCUCAAAAUGACCAAAAACGAAUGGGAAAAGGCUGUUAGGCUUCUCUACAGUCGGUUUCCUCACCGGAGAAGGAGUUUCCGACGAGGAGGAAACAGCGACCCGCGGUGAGUCUCUUUUUUCUUUAUUUUAUGUUUUUUAUUUCGUUUAAAAAAUCAAAAUAAAAUAAAAUAAAUACAACGAAAAAAAGAAAAAGUAAAUAUUGCAAUCGAAAACCCAGGGAAUCACCUUGAAGCUUGAUAUUUUUUAUUAUUCUGUUGAAAUUUGUUUUCUUGGUUACAAAUCGAAAAAAGAAAAAGAAGCCCUUUUGAUUUUUUCAAUCGGCCUUAUAUAGCCAAACUACAAAAUAAAAAAUCUCCUUUUGCUAUCCGUAUUUGCUGUUGCUUGUUGGUGUUUGUUGCAGGUACUGGCGGAGCAGUUGGAGCAGGUGAGUCGGUGGCAAGUGGGCGUGGUGACGGCUGUGAACAGAGGGCAGGUGAGGAGGCCAGGAGCAGGUGCGGCACAACAGGGGGCUAGGGUUUCUGCUAGGUGUUUAUGUUUUGGGCUGAUUGGGUUAGGCUAGUUGGGCCUGGGUAGUUUUUAGGUUAAAAUUUGUUAUUGGGCCCUGGGUCAAAAAUUGGGCUUGUACAAUAAAAUUAUUUUUAAAAAAUAAAAAUUAUUAAAAAAUACAAAAACAAUAUUUUUAAUAGUUUAGAGAUGAAUUAAAUGCUAACAUGUCAUCUACUCAGCAAUCCACAUGUAUAACACGUCAUGAAAGUUAAUAAACAUUUAUUUUUUCAUCCACUCUGGAGUGGCUUGACAGAAAAUGUAAAUUCAAGUGUUAAAAGAAGCGAAAAUUUUAAUGGAGGGCUAAAAUGACUUGUUUUGUGAAGUUGGAGGGCCAAAAAAUAAUUAUGCCAAAACUAAAUGAUUAAUAGAAAACAAGGGGAAAUUUGCAUGCAUCUAUAUAAUUUUAUUUCAAACCAUUGUCAUUAUCUUGAGAUAUACAUUGGCAAACAUUCAUUGAAUAUACCUUGGGAAAAAAAAAUACUACAAGACAACGAAAUUAAAUAUCAUAAUCAAAUGUUGAAAAUGAAUGAUAAGAAAUUUAAAUUAAAAAUCAAACAUAGUAGGCUUGAUGUGCAAGCUAUCUGCAAUCUUUUUUUUUAAUUGUUUUAUUAUAUAGAUUUUAAUAUUUCUUACGUCUUUUAUCAGUCAAUUUGAACUGAUGCAUUCAUUUGUUUCAUUCAUAUGGUGUUGGAUCACAUUAAAAAAUAUAUACAAUUAAUUAAUCAUUUUUAGCUUAAUAAAAAAUAUAUAAUCUUGAUUGGUAUGAGUAUUAUUAUUAAUGUAAGAGGAUCUAGUUUUAAGUGUGCUUAAGCGCAUUAUCCUCCUAUUUAUGGGUUGAGGAGGGGUUAUGGGUAAUUUUAGGCAUUAUGUCAAAAAGAGCAUAUAUGAUCAGAACUUGUAAUGAAAUUAUUAAAAAAAAUGUAUAAACAUAAACAAUUUUGUUUACAUAAUUUUUAGAUAUAAAUGAGCUUUGGAUUCAAAUAAUUUUGUGUUGCUUGAGGUUUUCGGAUCUAUUUACUCUCAUUUAAGUUGUAAAGUUUUUACGAGAGGUAAAAUGUAAUUUCAUUAUUUUAAUAGCUUACGUCUUUAUAAUUAAUUAAAGGUUAAAUCAAAAUUUUAUUAUUUUUGAAAGCUAAUGUGUGAUUUUUACCAUGUAGUAAUUUUUAUAAUUUAUAAAAUUUAAAACACUAAAACAUAAACUUACCAUUUUAGGGUGCAGAGCCAGCCCCUAUAUUUUGAAUUUGAAGCAAUUUAAGUUUAAAUUUGUAAUUUUUUAUGAUUAAAUAAAAAUAAAAUAAGCUUUAUUUUAAAUUGAUCAAGUAAAAUUUAUCAAGUCAAAUUUUGAGUUAGAAAUCAAAAUUGUGAGGUUUACCUAUAUUAAGAAAAAUUAGCUACUAAAAAAUUGUUAAUAUAUAAAUUUGUGUGUUGGCUUGUUGGUCAGGGUAUUCAUCGCCCCAAAUGUGAUUUGGGUUCGAGUCGCGUUACUGUUAACGUUUUGUCAUCCUCUUGUAAUUUACUAAAAAAUUGUUAAUAUAUAUUAUAUAAAGAUAGUAAACUGUUGACUAACAUAAUGUCAUCAUUCAUAGAGGAAAAAAAAAGGCACAUUGAUCAUAUUUUCAGCCAUCCAUAAAAUAGCAGUAAAAUAAUUGACUUGAGAAAUAACACAUAAAAUCAUAUGAUAUAUUUGAUACACUGAGAGCAUUGAAGAGUCAUUUGAAUCAUCGUAAAAGACAAAGUAGACAAUUCAGUGACGAAAUUCUCAAUAUAUAUAACUACGAAAUUCCACACAAAAUUGUGAAAACAACGAAAAAUAUCUAAUAAAAAUAAACCAUUCAAACAAGACCGCUUGACUCUUUGAGUAAUGAAUUUUUUUUCACAAUUAAUUUAACAUGUUUUUCCAAUUUGAAUAGUAAACACUAUAGUUGCAAUUCAGUCAAUACUAGAAAUUUAUAUUUUAAACCCAUCGUUUAGAAUAUUCCAUUUUUUACAUUGGAAAUAACACAAAAGAUUCAAAGGAAAAAUAAGCAAAUUUCAUCAAAGGCGUCUAUUUGUAAUGGAAAAUUUAUAAUGUGGAUCCUUGUAUUAUAAACUAAAGAACAAAUUAACUCCUUAAGUAUAAAAGUGAGCAAUUUAGUCCUUUAGGUCUUUUCUCUUUUUUCUCCAAGCCGUUUGUUUCUUCUUUUUUGUUUUGCGUAGCAACGGUGGCAAUCUCCGGGCUGGCUACUGCCCACCUUUUGCUCCCUCCAUUCCAUAUGUUUUCUCUCUUUUCAAUUGAUACAUCUAUUUUGUAGGUAUCUUUGUUGCCUUCACAUGUUGUGAUGGACAGAUGAUGAUGCCUAUCGUCGCUGAAAUUACCCUGGCCAUCAACAGUUUCUCUAAGAAAGUGGGUGACUUUUAAUUGGCUCUUGAUCUAUUUUUGUUUGGAGAGUAUUUUAGAAUAAUAAAUAAUUUUACGAAUCAGUUUGGACCUCUAGUAUUUUAAGUCGUCACCAUUCAUUCCAUGAAUGGAAUCAUAUCAUUUAUGUAAAAGAUAAAACUUAAACAUGUCUUUAUAUUUGUAAAAACUUAACAAUAAGAAGGCUUGACUAUUUGAAUAAGUUAUUUUUCACAAUAUUUUCAAUUUGAAUUGUAAGUACUCCAUAGUUGUAUGAUUCAGUGAAUACUAGAAAUUUAUAUUCAAAACCCAUCAUUUAAAAUUUUCUGAUACAUUAGAAUUGAGAAGAAAAAUAUUUAGAGUAAGCAAAUUUCAGCAAUGGCGUCUAUAUUUAUAAUUGAAAGUUAUCAAUAAAAUUAAUAUCUUAUUUCUUUUUAAUAUUUUAUUGUGCAUGCGUAGUUUUACUAAUGGCAUUGAUAUCCCAGAAUUAAAAUAUUUCCAACAAGCAUGUGCUCUAUUGAUUGACUUUAAAGUCUCUAGAUUUUUAAAAUGAAUUUACUAAAAAAAUGAAAAAAAAUUAUUAGAAUUAAUUUUUAUUAAUUGAUAAUAAACUUAUGAAUAAUUAAGUAUUACAUUUUUAUUAAUUCCAAAUCAAACUUCUUUUUUUUAUAUAAUACCUAAAACUACUUAUAAUCCCUUCCUAAUCCUUAAAUAAGAAAAUAAUGUGUUUCAACAUAUUCAAACCCACAUCUUCCUGCACUGACAGAUUAUAUAAAUUUAAAUAUUCAAUAUAUAUAUUUCUCUAAAACUGACAUGUUGAAAAAGGAAAUCACAACUAUAAAACAAUCAUCUUCAAAGUUUCAAUAAUAAAAUAAGUAUAAUACAAAUUUAAUGAUAAAUUCAUGAUGUGUUAGGAUAUAAAACUAAUAUUUUAAAAAAACGAUAUGAAAUUAUAAAUUCUAUUGUGAUUAUAGUAUAUUUAUAAAUGAAUGUUGGGAUAAUUAUAAAAUGGAAUUAAAUUAAUAUAAAAUACAUUAAAAAUUAAAAUAAUUAAAACUAAAAUUGAUUCAUUGGACAAAAAUAUACACUUAACAACGACGCAUUAUAAAAGUAAAGAUCUAGAUAUGAUAAUUGCAUAUAAUAAAAUUUAAAUAUAAAUAUAAAAUACUUAAAAAUUUCAACCAACAAUAUCUUCGUUAAAAUUAUAAAUUCGCUUGAUUAUUUUCCUUUGAUUUAACACAUCUUCUUUUGGUAGCCGUCUGUACCUGACUCGACCAGUUAACCCACAAAACAUUUUACAUGUACAAUAAUGACACAAUUUCGCUCAGGCCUAAUUUACAUAUAAAUACAAAAUUACAAAUCCAAAUAAAAAUAUUACAAGCCCAAAUGUAAAAAGGAAGCCCAGUGGCCCAAAAAACUUAAACAUUUUCAGAAGGACAGAAACCUUAGCCAGCGCGCCGCCCUCUCUGCUUUGCCAGCGGUUUCGUUGCCUGAGGUUUGACGCCUCAUCUGCCAGUUGUCGCCAUCGACUAGGGACACUUGCAAAAAAGGAAGAACAAGGACAGAAGCACAACACCCAAGAAAAAACAGUAGAAACAGUAGAAAAACAGUAAAAAAGAGAGUGUAAUUCGACUAUAAAAGCCAUGACUUUUAUGUAUUUCUUUACAAGAAAAAAAGGAAUAAAAAACAGAACACAAAGAAAACAUUUUUAAAGGUGAUUUUCUUCAUUUUUUUAUCUGUUAUUUUUAGAAAAAAAACAUAAAACAUAAAAUCAAAAAAACUUACUGAGCCGUUUCAUGUUCCACCGCCGCGAGUAGACGAGGACACCGUCCGCGAUGACGGACGGCUCCCUUCGGUGAGACCUCCGAGUCACUUCUGUUUUGUCUAAGGACCACGGCGGAGAAAACCAAGGGGUUGUUCAGAUUUUUUUUAAUUUUUUGUUGGGUUUUGGAAAGUACUGACCCCGGAUUCGGGCUCAAGAAGCCGUAACGGCCAAAAAAUGGUUGCUUGUAGAUUCUAGCCACCGGGAACAGUGAAAUCAUCGCCGGCGCCAGGGGCAAACGUGGAAAACCGAGAGAGAAAAAAAGACUCAGUUUUUUUAAGAAAAACUAAACAUAAUGAUUUUUUUUUUUUAAUUUGGCUUAUAUAGGCGAGGCUAAACGACGUCGUUUAAAGCUGGCUUCAAUAGCCCCAAAACGACGUCAUUUUGAAACAUGACCCGAAUACAAACAGGAUCCGCAUGUUUUCUUAAGAAAGGGUCUAAUUUUUACUUCAGUCCUUCUGCUUUUUAAUUGAUUUUCAAUCUAGUCCUAUUUCUUUUUUUUUAAUUUUUGCCCAGUGAUUUUGUUUCUUUUUAGUCCCUCAUGGAACGGUGUGUUUGCGGGCCUGGGAAUAAUUUCCUAGUUGGUCCGUCCUUGUAAUACCCCAAAAAUUACUACAGGAAUAAAGUAAUAUAGUAUCCUUGAUAUAGUAAAAUCAGGAAAUAAAGUGACAAAAAGGGAAAUUUUGAGUUAUGUCAACAUUGGGAAGUAUAUUAUGACAUAUUAAUGCAAAAAAAGAUUAAAUCGCAAAAGUGAGAAAAGUUUUGUUGCCCAAGAGUAAAUACUCAAAAAUUGAGGGGUUAAAGUGUAAAUAUAAAAAAGUUCAAAGACCAAUAGUGAAAAUAUUUUAAGGGUGGAAUGAUAUAGAAAAUAAGGAAAAUGGAUGAAUUAUGACCAAAUUGAAUAGGUGAAGAAUUAUGAUGGACUAAAUCAUAAUUUUACCAAAUUAAGUGAUGACUCAAUGAUGGAAUUUUAAAAGAUCAUGAAGGGCAAAAUGGUCAAUUAGAAAGAGAGAGAACUCUAAAAGGUAAUGAUGAUGUUGGUGAUAUUUUUAAUUAAUUAAUUAGAUAAAUGUUAUUUAAUUAAUAUUUUAUUUAGAUUUUUAGUAUUAUUUUCUUUAUAAUUUGGUUAUUUUACCAAAAAUUCACCAUUUUCACUUAGAAAUCAAAAGAAUUUCUAUAGCUACCAAGAGAGAAAAAUAAUAAGGAGACAAUGGGGAACUAGAAUAUCAAGUUAGAUUCAAGAAAUAGAAGCUGGAGGAGAGAGAAAAUUAAGUUAAAGAUUGAAAUCAAUAGGACAAGGUAAGAACCUCAAAUUUCAAUAUAUUUUUUAGUUUGAUAUUAUUGAAAAAGUAUGAAAUUGAUGGCAAAGUAGAGUUUUAUUAUAUAAGAUUCUAUGUUCUUGAUAUUCUAGUGAAGGGAAAUAAGAGGAAGUGAUGGGAAAUAUUGUAGAGAAAGGAAAGAAGGGUGUUAUAAAUUUGGUUAUCAACAUUUUACACUAAAACAGUUUUGGACAACAGCAGUAGUCUGACUUUGAAAAUUCACCAAAAAACGUAGAAAUUGAAUUAGAGGUUAAUUAAAGUAUUAAAAUAAAUCCUAUUAAGUCUAGUUUUACAUGGAAGAAAUGAUGUAAGCAAAAGAAUUUCAUAUUAAGAGAUAUAUGAAUUUUUGUGAGACAGGGUCAGAUUGAUUUCGGGUUCCCCUGUUCUGACUUUGGAAAAUCAUCAAAAAAUUUUAAAAAAUAAUUAGGGGUUUAAAUUUAUUUUUUUAAAUUCUUGAUGAGUCUAUUUUCAAGAGAAACAAACAGAAACAUCAUCCAGACACCGUACUAAAAGAUAAUUAAUUUUUAGCAAGAAAAGGUCAAAGCUAUCAAACAGCAGAAUAUGGAUAAAUUUGAAGCAUUUACUGUACUUAUAGACUAAACUGUAAAUUCUAAAAAUUUUAUGGUGGAAAGAUAUUUGAGUCUAGUUUCAAAAACAUCAAUCAAAUCUUAAUUUAGAAUUCUGUAGCUCGAGAUAUAAAUAAAUUAUUGACCGUGAUUCAAGUGGACAGCUUUGAUAUGAACAUAAGUAAAUAGUAGAAUUAUAGAUAAUAUUACAUAUAAGCAUAAUAUAUACAUUAAGGAUGUGGAAUGGAGAGGAGGAGGAGGAGGAGGAGGAGGAGGAAAAUAUAUGAAUAUUCAACUAGCAUGAGUUUUCAUUAAAAAUGGCUAAUUUGCAUGUUUUAGGUUCAGAGACUAAAUUGAAUAAAAGUAAAAUUUUAAGGGUAAUUUUGUAAAAAUGUCAAAAAUGACCAAAUUGUAUGAAAUAAAUUUUUUUAUUAUUUAAAUUAAUAAAUUGAAUGAAAUAUUAAUUUAGAUCAAGAUUGAGUGGAAAAUCGAGGGAAAUGGAAAAUUACUAAAAUGCCUCUGUAUAUUGGUAUUUAUGCAAUUUGGGCUGGUAAGUUCGUAUGAACUAUAUUCUGUAUAAUUUUGAUUAAAGUGAAUGAUAUUUGGUGAUGGAUAUUAUAUAUAUGUGUGUUCAAUUGUUGGAAUUGAAUUUAAUACUCAGUUUGGAUUGAAUGCGGGAUUGACUACAAUCGUUCUGUGGCAAAGGAUGAAUUGACGGAUAAGACCAUAACUAGGUUAUGACACUAUGAACGUAAGACCAUGGUUGGACCAUGGCAGUGUUUUUAUGUAAGACCAUAGCUGGGCUAUAGCUUUCUAAUGAGACCAUAACUGGGUUAUGGCACCUUGAACGUAAGACCAUGGUUGGACCAUGGCAGUAUAGAUACAUGUGUAAGACCAUAGCUGGGUUAUGGCAUUCUAAUGAUAAGACCAUAAAUGGGUUAUGGCACUACAAAUGUAAGACCAUGGUAGGGCCAUGGCAAUGCAUGUGUAAGACCAUAGUUGGACUAUGGCACAAAAAGUAUAGCUAGACAAAAGAUUUUUUUUUUUUUUUUGCAUUUAAACUUCUGAAGUAUCUUUGAUGAAAGAGGUGGUGGAAAUAACGAUAGCUCCAAUGAAGAAGAAGACAAUGUCUUAUAUGACUCAAAAAUGGAAGUACCUAGGGAUGUUAAUACUAAAGUACUGAGAGCCAUUAAAGGAGAUUGGGUUUACAGUGAGUGUAAUUCACACCAACAUGCUAAGAACCACUAGAGGAAGUAAAUAGGUUUGGAGAUAUCUAGAGUUAUGAAUGAACUUAGACAAGGCUAUUAUGGAAAAUGAAUAUACCUCUUCUUAGAGAAAAAGGUAACUUUAUAUAGAGAUUUGUGUACAUCUUAUUGUGAUGGUGGUCUACCUCAGGCUCAGUUGUAAGGCCAAAAAAGCCCUGUUAGGCAAUGACAUGUGAUAGUGUAUGGAGUUUGUACUAAAGUUAUGGAGGGUCCUACUAGGAUGUGGUAGAAAGGACCUCUGAGUAGGCCCUAAUGAGACUCAGCACUGGGACUUGAUUUGACAAUGGCGCAUGUAAGGAGAUAAUUGAAAGCUUGAAUUUGGCAAGCCCUUUCAUGGGCGAGCCCUUCUAGAUAAAAUUGGUUGACUUAGGGCCAGAUUUUCAUUGCUUUUGAGAAGUGCUUCUGAGAAGUGCUUUUGAGAAGUGCUUUUUAGAAGUGCUUUUGAAAAAUUUGAGUGUUUGGCAUUGCUGUCAAAAAGUGCUUUUGAAGAAUAAAAUGUCCAUUUUAGACAUAAGAUUAUAAAGUAAUAAAUAUGUAUUUAAAUAAUGUUCAAAUUAGUUAAUAUUAUGGUAUUUUAGCAAAAAUAUAAAAAAAUAAUUUAUUAUAACUUAUUGUUAAUAUUUUAAUAUAUAAUAUCAAUUUUAAAUAUUUCUAAGUAAUUAAUAUUAAUUAUUUAGAAAUAUUUAAUUAGAAUAUAUAAACUAUAUUUAAAUAUUUAAAUAUAAAAAUUAAAUAUUUGUAAUUAGAUAUUUGAUGGGCUACUUUAACACUAAAAUUAAUCAAACAUAAUACUAUCUAACUAAAAUCUAAAAUCUAAUCACUAAAACCCAAUAUUAAACUUAGUAAUUCACUUAAAAAGAGCCUAAAACUAAGUGUGAAUUUAACUCUAAAACAUAUAUUAAUUAAACACCUAUCAAUUUCGUUCCAACUGUCAUUGUAAUGUAAUGUUAUAAUGUUUUUGUUCUAAUAUAUGACAAUGCACAUUGUUUAUCAUAUUUUUGUUCCGAUUUAAUGCACACUACCAUUUUAGUGUAAUGUUUGCCAAUAAUUGUUUCAAAAUGGUAUGAACUUUGGACCAAAAGAAUAAAAAAAGUUAUAUAAACAACAAUUCAAUAGAAAGCCGACAAAAUUAAUUGAAGUUGGUUCGAUUCGGUUAAUUAUUUUAACAGAAAAAAGGUCAAUUCAACUAACGGUUUAGUUAAUUAUAAUUCAAUUAACAAUGGAUCGAACUAACUAUUUCAUCACCCUUUAGAUUAAAUGUUUGAGAAUAUAAAACAAAAUACUUAGAAUUAUAAAAGAAAACAUAGUUUCAAUUGAACAAUUUAGCGUGCAAUGGAUACUAAGAUUCUAAUUUGAGGGUAAAAUAUGGAAUGCCCAUAUUGUAAUCUGUGGUGCUUUAUUAACUGCUGAUAUCUUUAACAACAUAAAGCUACAAUCCAGGGUCAAGGCGAGGCUUUCAAGGCAGCUUCUCCUAGUUUACCUCUGAGCAAGUGAUGGAUUGUAGGGUGCUCCCCAAACUGAGCUACGGACAGUUUGACUACCGGUUGCAACAAUAAACGUGAGGGAAGGUUAGAGCACAACUAGAUGGUUCUACUUUGGUUCUUAGUAUGAAUUUUCUGACAAAACUGCAAAUAAGCGGGAAAGGUUGCAUUAUUUCACAGGACAAGCUAGCCCAGCCUGAUGAUAAUACGUAAGUCGUGAAGAAGGUAGCCUGCAGACAAGAACAAUUUCAGUUAGAUGUAAUCCUGAAGAUACACAAUCACAUGCCAUAAAAAAGUGAGAAAAGCAAUCUGUCCUAUGUGAGUGCCUACAAAAGAGAGCGCUUAAUAGUGUAUUUCAUGCAUCUCAAUAGACCAAGGUAAAAUCUAAAUCUAAAUGCAUAUAACAACUUGCCAUGAAUGGAGGUGUUGAGGUUUUAUUAAACCAACAAUUGAGGACGCAUGGAAAGGUUACGUGGGUUGGCACUGCUCUGGCAAGUUGUUUAGGUGCAUCUUUAAAACUUGAGAAAACAGUCAAUUGCCUGAUGAUGGAUCCAGAAAGGACAUUAACAAAGAAAACAUUCCAAAUUGUGAAGUACAGAACUUUGAUGCAAGCACCCCAUUUCCUCUGACUACGUGAAAUAUUCCCCUCCAUUGUAGAAAACAACAUCAUGGUUGGUGGAACAGCAUACAGAAAUAAGAUUAGAAUCACACUUGGUAAGUAACCUGUUACCACCCGGUGUAUGAACUCCCUACAUAGCAGAAUAAACAAGAUAGAUUCACAAUGAGUGCCUGGUUCCUUCUCUUUUAAUUCCUUCAAGUUUCCACUUAAAAACAAUGAUAUUUGUCCUAUCUACAUGUAUUAAUACACACCAAGAGCUUGGGUGAGUUUAAUGCAGUUAAAUAGCAAUGACAUCACUAUAAUAAGUUGUAUCUGGCUAUUUAUGUACUCUAGAUUGUCUUUCAGAGCCUUCAAUCUAGACCUGUUCUCAGUAUGCGCCACAAGCAAUAGCAGAUAUAGGAGUAUUAACAGGGUUCACGAUUAUGGAUCUUUUCAUGCAGGUUUCUAUAUAGAGUUUGUUGCAUCAGGCAUCAGUCAUGACUGCAAUGUGAUAUGAAAGCAGCAUAAUUGAAAAAAAAAUAACAAGCUUAUACUGGUUUUGCAAUAGAGUUUGGGGAAUGAUACUCACUGUUUUUAAAUUCCUUUAAGAAAUGGAACUCUACGUGAUAGCUGGUCUAAGUGCUCUAGUUGAGUCAAGCCUUGCACAAAUGUAACAGGAAGAAGAAACAGGAAUUGAAAUGUUGAACCACUUCAAGAUGUUUUGAACUUAAAUUUGAGACUUAAUUACCUGAAAACAACUAUUCUCAUGAAAGCUACAGCAUCGUAACAUAAAUAGACUUAAUUACUCGGUUACUAACAUGAAAUUAAUUAAACAAAACAGCAACAGCAACAGACCCUUUAUGCUAACCGCAUUUCUUAAGAAAAAAGAAAUACCAAACAUAAAUAGAAAAAAGAAAGAAAAAAGAAGAAGAAGCAACAAAACAGCAACAACAACAGACAAGCUUUUUCUCUUAUCAGGGUACACAACAAACAUUCCCACAUUUCUUAAGAAAAAAGAAGAAGCAACAAAUGGAAUUGAUUGGGGAAGUUCAACAAACAGAAGGAGAGCAAAAUAAGACAAUGAGCAAAAUACCAAACAUAAAUAGAGUGUGUGCUUGGCUGCAUCUCUUUGAUCCCAGCUACUGUAAGCCUUUAUAUGUAACCAAAGCAAAGCACCGCCCCCACUUAUCUGACUCACCCACCCACCAGAACCUUCAGACCAUUUUGCAGACUUAUGAUAACACAGAUAAAAUAAAUCCUAAAGCCAAACAUGUGUAUGCCUUGUGAAAGUUACGGCACAAAAGAACAGAGUAUUUUAUAACAAUGAAGCAUGGCAAUCAAAUUCCAGCGAAAGAAAAUAUUAAACAGAAGAGGAACUAAUUAAACAGAAGAAGAAUUAUAAAAGAAACUCUCACCAGCGGAAGAGGAACAAAGAACAGAAAAUAGCUUUGAAAGCCGAAAAUGGGGAAAAGAAAUUGGGUAUAAAGCUCCAAUUUCACCAGCAGAGGGGAAAGAAAAUUUGGGGAACCAGCAGAGGGGAAAAAAACGUUUGGGGGAGAAUUUGGUCAAUAAUCAUCCAAAAGCAGUUAACGCUGAAGAAAAGGAGAAAAUUUUAGCUUCUCCAUCUAGAGAGAAGCACUUUUCUGAUGGAGAAUUUGUAAGAGAAAAGGAGGUUGUUCUUGGUUCCUUUUAAGAGAAAAGUGCUUUUUAGUGAAAAAGUGCUUUUCAAACGGGAAAAAGAACGGGCCCUUAGCGAGGUGUUUAAGUAUAAUAAUUUUCCUUUAAAAGUUGAGGAAGAGGUUAUAAAGUGGCUUUUCCCGAGAACUUUUUUUGGCGAGGUGCUCUCCUUUCGAUGAUGAUGUGAUGUGUUGUCUUUGGCAUGCCUAAAAAGGAGAUGUUGGACGGGUAGGUAUUUUGUUGGUGUACCUUUUUCAUGAUCUUAACAAGAUUAAAAAGGUGAGCUUAAGAGUCAAUUCUAAAGGGUGGGCUAGUAAUGGAAAGGCUUGAAUAGACAAAGGUAUGCUUGGCUAGGUGAGCUCGUUGAGGCAAGGCCUGAAAGUCUAUUUGAAAGGUGAACCUUUAUUGUAUGCAAUCUCGAAAGAUAAAGUUACGUUAAAGAAGAAAACAUCGUUGAAAGUGGAAACAACGGUGGUAGAUAGGCCAACAAAGAGGAAGAGCACGACAAGAUCACACUCCAAAGUUAUAGCGACAAAUUAGAGUAGAUUAUAUUUUCUAUUGCUAUAUAGUUAUUUCCUUUUGGGGGUUAAUAUUUUUCACAAAUAUUAUCUUUUUUUUCUUUUUAUUUUUUAUGGUUACUUCAUGUCGGGGAUAUAAUGUUUGAACGAGAAAUUUAUUACUUUCUUCAUUAUGUUAAUUAAUUUAUGAGUGGGGAAUUAAACGAAACGAUUUUUUCAAUUGAGUAUUUGAUUUCACAUUCUUCUCCAAUAAUAUCAUUCAAACAACUACUACAUUGAAAUAGACUAUUUAUUCUUUACAAUUACCUACAAAUUAGAUGAGUGUUAAUUCAUGUGGGCAUUUCAUAUUUGAUAUUAGUAAAUUGUAAAUUUGAAUAAAGGAAAACCUAUCUCUUAAGUGGUAAUUUUACUGGAUUCUUUUUACUAUUUUGAUCCCAUUUAUGAUAUUUGUUACUCUUCCUAUUCUCAUACUCUAUAUAUAUUCAUGAAUGCCAUUAAAUAAAUAAACAAUUAAAAGAAAAGAAAAUAUGAAACAGAAGAAAGCUUUUCUUGAAAAAAGAGCAGGACUUUGAUGGUAAAAAGGUAGAAAAAACUUCAUUGGAUUAAUAUAAGGUAGUGAGUACAAAUCUAAUCAAUUUGGACUUUUUCUUUAUAUGAUAUGUAUGAAUAUUAUAAAACAUUAUUACUUAAAAUUUAAUAUUUAUUCCUUAAGGAAAAAGCUUGAAGAGGAAAUUUUAAUAUAAUUUCAAACUGCGAUUGGUUCAAUCAGCAAUGAAGUAAUCCCACCCUUAGCUGCUUUUCCAACAUAUGUAUAGCCAUCUCCUUCACUGUAAAGCACAUCCAUCACCCUUGCAAGGUUUAGACUACGAUUUAAAACUUCUGUUGGCAUUUCUGUUGGUUUCAAAAACUCUUGAUUUACAUCCUUCCACGCACUCUCAACAUGCUUGUUGAAUACAUCAUAUGCCUCUUCUGCUGUUACGCCAUAUUCUUCCAUAUAACACUCGAUUGCUGAGCAAUCGUCUUCUCUCCUAUGCUUGAACUGCAACCAUAAUAAAAUCAAAAUUAUUCUAUCACUAUAUACCCUAAAACCUUUCAUAUUAUUAAACUAUAUUUGUUUAAAAUGAAACUAGAUUUAUUUUCUUAUUUUUCGAUUUAAGACUAAACAUUUGAUAUGUCAACAUUAAACUUUAAUUGUUUCAGAUCAUGAUAAAAACCAUCAUUUAAUUUUGUUACAAAGACAUUCAAUUAUUGAGCUAAGAGUUCAGUUUCUUGUGAUCAUAUAAAUAUAUUAUUAUACCUUGUGUUCAGCAACAUCAUCCAUAAACCUACAAAUUAUUGUGGAAGCUUGAAUGAUCUUAGGGUUAUUAGUUGCCCAUUUAAAGGUCUCUGGUGUUACGAUAUCUCCCAUGCCGACGAAAGAUGUAAUAGCAAGCAUUUCAUAACCACAAGUUGGCAAUGCAUUAGCCUUAAACUCCUCGAAUGAUGGUUUGUAGUUUUGAAGAGUCCAUUUGAACUCCACAAGGUAAGAUUGAGCAAGUCGUAUCAUCUAAGACAACAAAGUCUCAACAAUUAUCACUAAUAUCAAUUAAAAUUCAAUAAUAAUAUUUAAAUGAUUAUAUAUUGUUAUUCAAGUUAGUUGUUUAUUCAAAUCUAGAAUUUAGCUAAGAUCUUAUCUCUUUUGUAUAAAAUAAAUGUUUGCAAAUGUACAUACCGCAUUCUUCGCAUACUCGACACGAUAUUGUCUCCCAUUCUCAGCCACCAAUUGUAUCAUUUCUUCAUAAACAUCUAAUAGUGCCUUGUAGCUUGGUUUCAUAUAUUCAGGAAGUUCAUCUAUGCAUUUGAUAUCCCACCUGAAUCAAACCUCAACAUUAUAUUUGAUCAUUCCUCGUAAUAUAUACUUGAAUGUUCACUUGAACAAAAAAAACCUAACCUAUUACCAGCAAAAUUAAAGAAAUCUAACCUCUCAAUUGCAUUUGUAUAGGGAAUGAGCUCUUCAUAUGUUGCAUAUGAGUCAUAUGUAUCAUCUACAAUAGAUGUCAUUGCUAUCACUUUUGUCAACAUCUUUCUACCAAGUGAAUAUUGGGGCUCAAAGUACACUCCCGAGAUCCAAAAAUAACCUUCAACCACUCUAUCUCUUGCAUAUGGCAACUUUCUUUGAAAGUCUAAAUCCUUCCACCACCUAAAAAAUCAUAUUAUAAAAAACACCAUUAACGCAAUGACCAUACAAAGUUUUAAUUAGUUCCACACUCAUGUUGUCAAUGAGUAAAUUGUUAAACUCUUAAGUCAAUCGGGAACCUCAAAUUUUAAAAAUUAUAUAAGUAAAAUGAAAUAGGUGAAAAAGAUGAAUCUAAAGUUAAAAUGAAAAUGGUGAAAAAGAUGAAUCUAAGGUUCAUGCCAUCACUUUUAACUUGUGCUAUUUAAUAAGAUUCAAAUAUUAGCAUUUGCAACUCGUAUCCUAUACUGAGAAUGAUGCCUCCUAUAAAUUCAACCCCCCCUUCCACCAAAAAAUUAAAAAAAGAUGAAAAAGAAAAAAAAAUGGGUGAAAGAGAUUAACAAAACAUACCUACAAAUCUCACUUAGUUCUUUCCUAUGCAAAAAUUGUAACAUGUUGAAAUCGAUCUUAGCAAACUCCAACAAAGCCUUAUUAUGGGACUCAAUAUCUUGGUAUACUGAAAGAUAGUGCCUUGCCUCAACCCUUGGCAAGCCUCUUCGAAUUGAUUGUUUCAAAGCAUGAGAAACCUCUUCGGACAAAGGAUGGUCCAAAGAUGCUACUGCAAGGCUUAAAUGGUUGGUGGUGAAAGAAAUUGCUUCAUCCAAUAUAUCUUCCCCAUGAACCCUCAAAUAGGAAGCUUGGUAAAGUUCCAACAAUCCUCGAACAUCGCUUGUCACGGAUGACUUGAAAUUCCCUUGCUCGUCUCUAAACUUGUUGAAUACGUCUGAGAUGAAAUUACCCAAAAUGAAAUAUCGUUAUCAAACAUUCCAUGCUAUUAUAUUCUCAAGAAACUUAAAAACAGUAUGUUGUUGUUCCAAUAAUUACCGCAUGAAACAUUGUAUCCAUGCUCUCGGAGUAGUCGGAAUCUAAGAGAUGUAGUGUAGAGGUCGUUCUCGGCAUCAUUGUUGUUAUGGUAGAUAUUCUCUAGUUCAUCUUCGAUCUCCUUGGUGAAAUGGUAACUCACACCCAGUCUUUGCACUGAA